Non-coding RNA from Podarcis lilfordi (Lilford's wall lizard), 51781 nucleotides. Lineage: Eukaryota; Metazoa; Chordata; Lepidosauria; Squamata; Lacertidae. The record is from the annotation of a GenBank genome assembly.
CAGCUGCAGUGGAUGUACUGCAAGGGCAGGGCUUUGCAAUUUGUGAGUGAUUAAAUGAAGGAUUACUUCAUCUCCCCUAUUUUUUUCUUCUGGGCAAUUUGUGUGAAAAUAGUACAUAUCAUAGAGGUGCCCUUUGGCAAGAAACCUGCCAAAAUUCAGAAGGAUAGAUGUAGGGUGGAUUUUGAUGUUGUUGUUGCUAGGCAGUUUUAAAAUAGAUUUUGUGAGGGAGAACUAAAAGCGAUUGACUUCCCUCCCUGUAGUUUUUGUGCGUAAUGAUUUUAAUAUGAAUGUGGCAUACAUUGCAGAGAUGCCCCUAGGAAAGUAAGCUGUAAAAUUUCAGAAGGGUAGGUGCAGGGGAUAGAGAGUUAAGAUAAAUGAAAAGAACAGCUUCAGGCUUGUGUUCUGCUGAAUUGACACCAAGGCAAAGAAACUAAGUGCAAAGCUGAUUUGACAGGAAUGGAAGUGUGGGCAUGUGGCAGAGAGGCAGCAGGACUUGAAUGUCCAGCAAUUCCCAAGCAUGCACCACUUAGCAGGACAGGGAACAAAUACAGAGCAGACAAGCAUAAGGUGAUAAGUCAACAUCCCUUCUCCAAAGCACUGUGGCUGGAGAUCCUUGGCAACCUGUCGGCCACAAAACUGCACUCCAUGCCUGUCCACAUCCUGACAUUUCCCUUACAUCAGGGGUGGUUAACUUGUGGCCUCCAGGUAUGGUUGGACUACAGAUUCCAUCAUCCUUACCAUUGGCUUGGGCUGAUGGGAAUUGGAGUCCAACAACAUAUUGGAGUCCAACAACAUUUAGCCAUCCCUGCCUUAUAUGUUAAUUGUGUCGGAAAAGAUUUUACAUCCUCCCUAGGACCAUAGCAUUAUGGGGUUAAAUAAUAUUGUCAGGGUGAGUUUUACUGACAGCUGAAAUAAAGUCACCAAGCUAGCUCCUUCCGUGUUGAAGUUAAUUUCCUAUUUCAGUUUAGGCAUCUGCAGGUCUACCACACAAUACCACUAGUACAGAAAAAGGGGGGAGAGAGAAAAUGUGAGAAGAUUUAACAGAACUAAGAUGCAUUUGUUUUUGGCUUCUAAUUAAUCAAGAUAACAUCUCUUUCAGCCAUUAGACAGUAAAAUCAAUAGGCUGGGCAGCCUGACUGCCAUUUAGACUUAUAUACGAACACCUAUUAUUGGCAAAAUAGUGAUGUAUUUAACCAUUUCAUCCUUUAUUAUAUUUCAAAUAAGGAUCACUCUCGACAAGAAGGAGAUGAACCAAGUGCCAUGAUAAUGUUCGCCUUGCUGUAAAUGUUCACCUUCCUCACCUUAUUUCCCCAGGUAGGGUUUCUUUCUUACGAUUGUGAACAAAAACCACACCUCAGAAUACCAGACUCUGCCUGAUAACUGAAUUACAACUGAAUUUUGAGACAAAUUUGGAGGUGAAGUACAUGCAGACAUUUCUAAAGUAGUUCAACAUUUUUUGACAGGGCUGAGCUGAAGCCACUCACAUAUUUUUAUGAACAAUUUCAAAUGUCAAAACGAGUUCAGUACCUAUUCAACUUCAUCCCUUCAUAAUACUGUCCCUCCAAAUGUCUGCAGAAGUAGGGAAAUUGCUAUGUAGGAGCAAAGACCCUGCUGCAGAAAUGUCCUGUCUCCAUUACAAGAGCAGCUCUCCUCUUAAUAACAGUUUCUGGGAAUCACAAGUGAAGAUAUAGCUGCUGUGCUCAGCUACUGCUUAUGGGAAGCCCAUAGACAUCUGGUUGGCCAUUGUGGGAAAGGAUUCUGGACAAUAAAGGCCUUUUGUUCUGAUCAAUCUUCCUAUGUUCUUAAAUCCAGGAUACAAUCAUCUUGCUGAUAAACACUGAACCUCUUGCCAGCAUCUCUCUUGCUUAGCUUUCGCUAAUAGGAUAAAUCAGGGCUUUUUUCCCCAGCUGGAACUCGCCGGAACUCAGUUCCGUCACCUCUCAGGUGGGUGCCAUUGCCAUUACAGUGGUACCUCAGGUUACAUACGCUUCAGGUUACAGACUCCACUAACCCAGAAAUAUUACCUUGGGUUAAGAACUUUGCUUCAGGAUGAGAACAGAAACUGUGCUCCAGCGGCGCGGCGACAGCGGGAGGCCCCAUUAGCCAAAGUGGUUCUUCAGGUUAAGAACAGUUUCAGGUUAAGUAUGGACCUCCAGAACGAAUUAAGCACUUAACCUGAGGUACCACUGUAUAAGAGAACAAGAGAGGUGUUUGUGGUGAGUUCCGGCACCUCUUUUUCUAGAAAAAGAGCACUGGUAUCAAUACUAUCCAUAUCACUACCUCCUUUUUUUUCUCCAGGAAUACUAGGGUGUUCAGAAUUGCCUAAUCACAUUCAGCAUAUUGUUGCCAUAUCAUCAUAUAUCUUUCAAAGACUAUCAAAGGAGCAAAAACUAAAUAUGGACCCUUGGGUCAUAUCCACACUAAACAUUUAAAACACUCUUAUACCACUUUAACUGUUAUGGAGAAACUCGGUAGCUAUAGUUUUUUUUAAAAGUGCUGGGAAUUGCAGCAUUUACUCUGAGUGUGACUCACAUUGGAUACAACCCAUUAUUAUAUUUGGGUACGGGGUCAUUUUUGUCCUGGCGGCUGCUGCUGCUGCUUUCCUGGAUGAGAGUCAUAGAUGGUCCCACUCAAUCAGGGAUCACCCAGUGAAUGGAAUACAAUAAGCCCACAGUUUACGUGGCGUUUACGUUCCAGGGAUUGUGCCUAAAGCUAAAAUCACGUAUAGUCAAAACACACUGGGUUCAAUGGUGAGUGCAGUUGCCAGAGUCAUCUUUCCCAGAACCCCGUUCCCUUUCUGCCCUUUUAUUAGUUUUUUAUUAAAAAGCCACAUACAUAAAGUUGAAUACACAUAAGAUAAAUGUACAUAGGUUGUGGAGCUUAUUGUACAAAAAAAGAGGACCUAGCCAAUCAGAUUCAGAUUCAUGGCGAUGUUACUAUGGGGGAAUGAGGGCAUCAGAAAUAAUUUAGCAUUUUCUCAAUGAGCGCCUAAAUCACUGCAAUGGGUUGUUCGGCACUGGCAAUAAAUGUUUGCAAACAACCGUGAGCAGUUUUAACUCAGCUCUGACGUGCAAAUCGCUUUCCCAAGAACAUUCCUGCUGGUAAAUACAGUGGUACCUUGGGUUAAGUACUUAAUUCAUUCUGGAGGUCUGUUCUUAACCUGAAACUGCUCUUAACCUGAAGCACCACUUUAGCUAAUGGGGCCUCCUGCUGCCGCUGCACCGCAAGAGCACGAUUUCUGUUCUCAUUGAAGCAAAGUUCUUAACCUGAAGCACUAUUUCUGGGUUAGCGGAGUCUGUAACCUGAAGCGUAUGUAACCCGAGGUACCACUGUAUACAGUUGCUGACUCACACUUGCGUGCAUCAAAGCGUUCAUCUGAGCCCCUCCCUCAAGUUACUGUGGGUGGGAUUUAGCAAUUUCCCAGAAGCCUUUGCUCCCUCUCUUUCCCUCUGCAUCCUCAAAGAAGCUGCAGCCAAUUAAAGGCUCCCACCUGUGAGGAAAAGCAGGUGAGUGAGAAAUCUCUCCAAAAGGAGAUUUUUAUGGCCCGCUUCUUUAGUCUGCAUGGUUCUUUAGUAAGGAAGCAAAGCUCUUUCUUUUCAAGCCGUUUGGAACCACUUUCUUUAUUUUACUUGCCAACAGAUGGAUACUUGUUUGCUGAAACAUCUGAAACUCUGUGAGUAAGAUCUACAUUUUGGUAUCUGUUAUUUACUCUAGCCUAAGUAUCUUUUUUGUGGGGGAAGUUGGUUUAAAGGUGGCCAUGGGGGUCACAUGUAAAGUCUAACCAAAUUUUAAUGUGCUUGGCUCAUUGUGCUAACUACGAGAGAAUCAGGAAUCUCUCUUGCAAACCUCUCUCCAACACAUUCUAGAGCACUAGGGAUACCAACCCCUUCCCUACUCUCUUCAGCUGCUAAUGUAAAUUAAUGAGAACAAUAUUUUCCUUCUGAAUAGGUUAGACAAAUGCUAAAUUAUACGCAGGCUGUAUCGGUAACUAACAGCCAAAUGUGCAUUAUUCUCAGGGCACUGCAACAUCGGAUGAUGGAACAGACUCAUUUUAACAAAUCUCUGAGGCUUCAGACCAAUAAAAUAUUGAGGUAUACAUAAUUUGUCUACCAAAGUUAGAAAACAGCAAAGUAAUUUGGGGAAAGUUUGUAGUUUUAUGUAGGCUGCCGCUGUUCGACGUCCAAGGCGCCUUGGGCUGCUUUUUGCCACAUGAAUCUGCACAGCUGCACAAGGCCCCAAAUCAGCCUGUUUUGAGUUUCCCCAGCAGCACUUAAUUUUAGGCCUUCCACCCACCUGAUCCUUGAUUGGUUGAGAGGCAGUGGAUGAAAAUAGCUGCUUUAAACAGCUCCCCAUUUAGUCUCUCUCAUGUCUAUGUACAAUCUCUUACUGAUCAACUUUGGGGUUUUUAGCCAGUAAUGGGGCAGUCUAAAGGCCUACGUGAUCAGGUAAGCAAUACUGUAUGUCUAGCUUCGCUUUGUAGAUGUGUUCAAAGCCCUGACUUCUCUUUAUGCCUCUUUCCUGAUCCUCAGUGUUUGUCCUAACUUGGCCGAUUUUAAUAGACUAUGAUAGGUCUAUAGAUAUGCUGUGUGUUUUUAUUGCCUGUUUUGAAGAGUUUCUGAAAAUGCACCAUAUCCAUGGGUUUAGCUUGUAUGCAAAUCAAAAUCAUCUUUGUAUCUUGCAGUCUCCUCUGUUUUUACUGUGGGGUUUUCUUUUUGGUCCUGCUCCUCUGUCUCCUCGCAAUAUUUUAAUAUUCAGUUUAAUACAUUUUCCAAUAUAAUGGGGGUUUAGUUCUCUCCUGCCAGGUUUUGUUGUCUUGCUUCAUGAAGAACAAUAGCCAUAGAAAGAUGGCCUCCAGCACUGUACAAUUUAUAGGUGUGGAGUGGUUUAAAUAGCCAAUUUGUAAAAGCUUCAGACUCAAUUUAUGUGCUAGGUUUCCCCUCCCCCCAGCAUUUACGUUGAUAAAAGUGUAAAAUGUGCCAAGCUUCAAUUCUGUUUACUCCUCUUGCACCUUAUCAACUAACCAAAGAGAGAGGGGCCUGUUCAACACAGUUCCAAAUCCAUUUGUCAUUGAAAAUAACAAAUGCAAAAAUAUUCUUAAAAUGCAUAAACCAUAAAUUGAAGCUACCUAAAAAAUAAAUAAACAGAUGGAGAUAGAUUCCUCUCCUUCCUGGAAAAUACUUUUGGGCUCGCUCGCUCUCUCUCUCUCUCUCUCUCUCUCUCUCUCACACACACACACACACACACACACACACACUGUUUGGCACCACAUUUUUCCACAAUUUCUCCAAUGGCUGCUACUUUUCUUAUUCACAUGGACGAUUCCAGCCAUUCACGGAUCUUGUAGUGACCAAUCACAGUAUGUAGCCAUUCGCUUUCAGUUAUGAGUGAGGUAACAAUUCCUGGAUUACAAGAGGGAGAUGAAGCACCCAGCUGAUGAAGCACCUCAGUGCCGAGUAGAGAAGUGUCAAGAUAAACUGAAGUUAAGCAGACAGGCAGGGUGAAUUCAGCAGUGGAGUGGAGGCCAGGGUGGUCAACUCUUUCUCCUUUUGAUCUCACAAACCCUGGAUUCAUAAGAAAAUAAGCUUGAUAAACAAUAACAGCUACAAAGACAGAAAGGCAACUGGGGUUUGGGAGUGUCACAUGUAUAAUGUUCCUGCCAAAGAGGAACCCUAGAUGUGUACUUGGUGUAGUCGGCUUCUGGUGCACAAGGGGCCUUUUUUACCCUGGGAGAUUGAGGGUGGUUUUUGUGUGUGUGCACCCUUGCCUUCUCCCCAUUUUUACUGCAAAUACAUUCUGGCAAGCUCCUGAAUAGGGUUAGGGCAGGGGUAGGCAACCUAAGGCACAUGGGCCGGAUGCGGCCCAGUCGCCUUCUCAGUCCGGUCCGCGGACAGUCUGGGAAUCAGCGUGUUUUUACAUGAGUAGAAUGUGUCCUUUUAUUCAAAAUGCAUCUCUUGGUUAUUUGUGGGGCCUGCCUGGUCUUUUUACAUGAGUAGAAUGCGUGCUUUUAUUUAAAAUGCAUCUCUGAGUUAUUUGUGGGGCAUAGGAAUUUGUUCAUUUCCCCCCUUCCCCCCCCCCCAAAAUAUAGUCCGGCCGACCACAUGGUCUGAGGGACGGUGGACCAGCCCACGGCUGAAAAAGGUUGCUGAGCCCUGGGUUAGGGUGAACAUCAAAACCCGUGGGCAUAUACGAGGGUAGAUGCUCACCUAUCACGGGUCCUCCUACUGAGAACAGUUGGGGAACUGGGCAAGGAGCAAGAGAAUGUGGGGGUACAGUGUGUGUGUGUGUGUGUGUGUGUGUGUGUGUGUCUCUGUGUGUGUGUGUGUACUGCAAGGGUCUGAUGGAAGACUGACAAACCACAUAGACAGAUGGGUCACUGAAGAGGUGCCUCUCUGCUGAGGGACUACAGGCAGGCAGAAGACAUGUUAGGAUUCCACUGAAAAUGGCAACACCCGUAGGGCUGUUUCUGGGCAUUCUGCUUCAAGAAGCCUAGCUUUUAAUACAGCACUUCACCUGUCAGGUAUCCCAGCUGUCUCAUGCCAUCUAGACAUCGUGCAUCUACCCAGCGUUGCCCCCUUCCCCCACACCAGGCCUCCACCUCCAUGUAUUUGCUCAGCAGGAGCCACAACACAAAACCACAACACUAUUGAUUCUGGAUGCUUAACUGCAUCAGAUGCAAAAGCCUGGGUGCCAAGUCCUGGAAUUGCUGUCAGCAUCCUGGCUGUGUUGCUAAAGAUGGGGCCGGCUAAUUCAGUCAGGUCUGCUCUUUCUGCCACCGCUUUGAGUGACGUGCAUGGCCCAGUGCACAUUCACUGAAAACUAGUAUCAGGGAAUGACAUACAGUUUGAUAACAUAAGAUGCUUAGGGUUUUUUUGGCUCAAGUGAGAUGUUCAGAGCUAAUAGCCCUGGUGAGCGGAGUUUUAGCUGUGAUCUGUACCUUGAGAUAUCGGCUGUGUCUGGCUCAGGGAAAAAGGGGGAAAGAAUGAAAGCUUAUUUCUAGAAAAGGCUUCCGAUGAGCAGCAUUUGUCAUUGAAGGGGAGAUGGGUAUAAUUAGCUUGUCAGUCUCGUUUGGGCUGAGCUGGCUUUCUGCGCUAAGAAAGAUGGACUAACUGCCAGAGCCGCUGACAGGUAGUCGAUAAUGCAGCAAUUAAUGUCAUAAAUAAUUCUGGAACCAAUUAUAUCAAAAUGGACUCUGAGCUUAAAAAAAGAUCAGAAUUCCCUUCUCCUCCUCCUCCUCCUUCGCUAACAGCAAGCCCCAGCUUUCAUUUUUCUCUGUAAUUACUUUUCAUUGUAUAUAGCCAUAAAGUAGGGUCUUUUUCUUCUGUCCAUAUUUUUAAACUCCCUUCCACCCCAGUUUCUCUCCCCAGCCCCCACCGUGUCCCUUUCCACCCUCCUGCUCCCCCAGGACUUGGUUGUUACAGGAUAUCUUUGGGUGAGCACAUAAUCUUUGAGCCUGGCUGUUUACAUGAUAACUCCCUCUGCACCGAAAUGAUUAAGAGCCCAGUUUUCUCAAAUGUCAUGAGCAAUGACAGCGGAGAACACCAAAACAAUGGCAUUUGGAAAUGAAGACAUUUGUGAAAUAAAUUGAUUUGUCUUAUUAUUUUAAAGGUUGUUCUGACUUUGCUUACACUGAACUUAUCGAUUUUUGUUGGCCUCCUCCUUCUCCACUACAGUUGCAACCGGAGAAUAUGAGCCAAGCUAUUCCCUCUGUGCCGCAAACACAAUUUACUACAAGCUUAACAAUGGUCUUGUAACCCUUUCUAGUAUCUCCUGCCUAUGACGGAGAAAACAAUAUGAAUGAUGGCGUAUUUUUGUUGGGCUGACUGCACUUUUAAAAGAGAGAACUUUAAAAUGAGGUUUGGGAGAACAGCCAGGCCCGUUUCUAGUUUUGUCCUGAUGUGCAUUUUGAGAAGUUGUGGCUGGGAUCAGCUUUGUACUUUAAGGUGACAACAGCGACAGCAGUUCAGAAUGUUUAAACUGAAGUGCUUAAUAUAUAAUGAUCUGAGAAUCCUGACAAUUGGGGAGAGCCUGAUCAGGAUCAGUUUUGCCAGGGGUUGAAGUGGUGGUGGUGGGGUCUCCUGGUUCACAGGUCAUUUGCUUCGUUGGCAACAUAUAGUUUAGUUCCUCUGUCCUCUACAAGCACCCCACCCCUGAAAGAAACCUAGCUGUUUACAACUAAAUGAUAUUUUUGCCAAAAUUCAAUGUUGUUAAUUAAUUAAUAUAGAACGAUUCAAAAUGAGGAAGUCUUCCAGGGGGAAGAUACACCGGUAAUCCACUUGUGCUGAGUUUGUUGCCUCCUUCGGCAAUGAGGGGUUUGGUGUGUUGGGAAAAGGAAAGCAAUUGCAGCAGAAAGAGUGUAGGCAUACCCAUGGUAUCCAUAGGAAAUUUGGCUGCAGCAUGCAUGGCUAUAUCACACACCACCCAAAUUGUCUUGAGAUGGUGGCUUAGAAGGUGUUGAUAAAUCAGUAUUCAUCAUCAGCAUGCACCCUCAUUACCACCCAGGCCCUUAGGGUCUCUGCACCCCAUCUCUGUACCCCCUCUCUCUCACACACACAUACACACCAAGACACAGAACCAGAGAGCGCAAUGGCCAUUUAUUGUCAUGAUGGAAAAGAGUACACAGCCCAAACAGGCAGGGAAAGCUUUCACAGCAGCAAAAACACCCCAAACCGAGCACCCCAUGAUAACAGAUAGACAUAGCAAGGAGCUGGCAAGUGAUGGGAAGGUGGAGCCACACUAGGAAUGACAGAGGAAAUUUCCUUCUGUCUACCUGUUCAACUCCCAUCAUGUAACAGUCUCUUGCUAAGAAUGAUUUUCAUCUCAGUUCUCUACAACUGUGUUUUUUUUUAUAAAAAAAAAUCAUGUACAUGUUAUACAUAAUAGAUACGUAAAUUGCAUAGCAAUUUACGUUAUUUACAUAUUCAUUGAUGUACAAUUGUCACUGCCCUGACAUGGGUCUUGCAGCUUUUCUUUUUUUCCUGAAAUACUGCAUGCUGACUUUGUGUACAUACACAGCCUAUAGUCACCAAGGCUGCAAUCCUAACCAUGUCUACUCAGAAGUAAGUCUCACUGACUUACUUCCACGUAAGUGGGGUUAUGAUUGUAGCCUUUAGCUGUUUCCCACUGUGGAUUUUAAAAACCAAUGGAAUGCAUCAUUUAUUCUUGUUCUUUGUUACGGAAAGAAGUACAGUAGUUUGUAUUGUCAUCUGUUGACUUUAUUUGUGCUCCUCAGUUAAAAGUCUGAGGAUUUGAAGCAGUCAGACAUAAAUCGAGUUUACUACAAACAUUGAAAACAAAUUAGCUUGAACAUUAUGUUUCAGAAGAUGCACACACACGGUCAUUUUCUGAAGAAAAUACACAUUUAUGGAAUAAAAUCAUGCACUACAGAAAGGGCUUAUAUAAGUGCACAAUGUUUAAUAUGCCCGCAGGAAUUCUUACAGUCCAGGACACACACAGCAAAAUACCAGCAGGGUGCAAACCUAUCCUUCCUUGAUGCCUGAAUGAGGGAAAAGAGGCAGGGUUAAGUUCAUACCACACUAUAAAAUCCAGAUAGUGAGACUUCAAUCCUAGUCCCACUUACCUGGGAGUAACCCAAGUUGAAUUCAGUAGAAUUUACUUCUCAGAGACAUGGUUAGAAUAGAUAGCUUUUUGAUGACCUAUUAGCCACUUCAUUAACUUUGUCUUUAAGGUGCUGCCAGGCUCUUUACUUUUGCUGCAAAAGACUAAGAGGGGUACUCCUCUGGAAAUUCAUCAGCUUUGAAGGGGAACAUACAAGGAGGCAACUGAUUUGUAAAUAUCUAUCAGUGGAUGAGAAAUGCAUCCCUCUAUUAUGUGUUACAACAGAUGUAUGAAAUUGCAUAUAUUUCUGCAUCAGUGGACAAUGGAAUGAAAGAAAGGCUUCUGCAAAAUAAACGAAUUGCAGCAAAAUGGAAAGUACCAGAUGAAAAUGUAAAUGAAUGUUGGAGCAGGCUGAGGUAUGUCUGUUCAUCCCUUGGCCACAUGAGUUGAGCCACCAACAAAGAAGAGCACAGGGGACAGUGAGAGAGAGUGAGUUAGACCAGGCCCACUGGUGCAAAGAUCAGGCACAACAAAUGCCAAGGGAGGACCCUUCAGGUUUGCCACCGGUGCUCUACACCAGUACCACAGGCAGAGGGACCCACAGUUGCAGCAGUAUCCACACUGGUAUGAGCAGACUGGCCCUUGUGUUGAGUCCUGCGUCCAACUGCGGCGCCGGCUGCCUGCACCAGCUCGUGUCCCUUCAGCAUCUUUGGGAGGGUCAUCCUACAGAACAGUGGCCAUGGCAUCUAGCAAGGCAGCCGGUGGGAGGAUAGCAGUAACAUCACUACCGUCCCCUAGUCAUUCCUGCAAUAUAUCAAACAGUUGGAUGGUGGAGGCUGCCUCUGACACAGGCCUCAUCCUCCACCUGUUUUGUAUGGAUAUAGCUGGUGUUGGCUUUUUUUUUAUUUUAAUCAAUCAAUAAAGCAUUGUGGAAGCAGCAAAUUACUGCAGCGUUCUUUCACAACCUUUUGCUUCCUAGAGCCUGACAAAUGUUUCCAGUUUCACAGCCAUGGUGGCAUUUACUCCUGGGAGGUUGGGGGAAACAGUUCAUGAAGUUCCCACUGUUUUCAAACUGGAAACAUCUGCUGGCAUUGCACUCUGUUUUGGCUGUUGGGUUCUGAAGCAGAGAAAGAUCCUGUAACCUGAUCAGCCCCUCUCUGUAGCAGGAGGUGUCACUGCCAUGACUGAUAAUUACAGUAGAUGGUUGCAGAGGAGGCAGGAUCAUUUGGCCAAACGGGCGAAUGCUUUAAACGCUUAAAAUGACCAUAUUUUCAAAUGCAAAACCAUGUCUGCCGUGUCUGCGCCUUGUCUCUGGCUGCAGCAAGAGGCACAACUGCUUUAAUCAAGCUUGCAAAGGAGCAAAGUGUUUCCAUAUUUUUAUUUUUAUAAUACAGACCAUUGCUCUGUCAGGUGGUUUGAAGAGUAGGAAUUCUUUUGCAAAUAAAGCACAGGCUCUGAAGAGUGGAGGCUUUGAGGCCCACUUAUAUGGAUAUGCUGAAAACACCAUAUUCCUAGUUCAUAUUUUAAAAAAGAGAAAGCAUGCUUACUUUCUACAGAUACAGCAUGACACCAUCACAUUUAAGCAUUCUCUUUCCUGGAUAGCCAUUGUAGGUCAGUUUAGCCCCCUGCCUCUGGGUACAGUACUUCUGGGCAAUGUGAACGUAUGAAGGCAUAAUGCCAGGAGUCAAAGGAAUUUAUUGUAGCCUCUAUGACCAUCAGAAGGCAGGUGCUCCUUGUUGUCGAUUAGGCUGGACUAGAAUUUCUGGAGAGGAUUCUAAUUUUGGUAAUCCAUGGAAGAAUGUUCUCUAGUUAUUUUCUAGAAUGGCUGGAAUGUAGGGUCCUCAUAAGUCUCGGUCUUGUGAUUUCCUUGACACCCCCCCCCCAUAGGAACAUAGAAAGAUGCCUUAUAAUGAGUCAGACAGUUGGUCCAAGUAGCUCAGCAUUGUUUGCACUGAAUGGCAGCUGCUCUCCAGGAUUUCGGACAAAGUUCUCUCCCAGUCCUACCUGGAGAUGCUGGGGAUUAAACAUGCUCUAUCACUGAGCUAUGAGCCUUCCUUUUCUUCCUGCUGCAGGAGAGCUUUUUGAGUUUGUUUGAUCCAGGGCUGUAGAAUAACCAGCUUCAUACAACCAAUGUGCUUAAGUUUAAUUAAUGUAUGAAAGGGUUAAUGCAGGGGUUGGCAAGGUUUACCUUGCCUGGACCGGUUCACUCCAGUGGAGAUCGUGCGCCCGCAAUUUCCGACGUUUGCACAGACGCGAUUUCCAGUGCCGCGGAAGUGAGUCCUUGCCCCGCACUGCGCCGGUUUAGCACAGCGUGUAGGGACUCGCCAAGUGGGUAGCUAGGUUCAGGGGUGGCUCGUGGGCCAGUUAAAUGACCCCCGUAGGCUGUUUGUGGCCCAUGGGCCUUAGGUUGCCGACCCCUGCGUUAAUGCUAUAGAGUAAGCCAGGGGUCCUCAAACUACGGCCCCCAGGCCAGAUCUGGCCCGCUAGGCUUGUAAAUCUGGCUCACCAGCUGAAACACCAUGCCAGGUUUACCUCAGUGUGCGGGGACUGACUGAGUGGGCAGCGAGGCUUCCGCGGCUGAUGUAAAUCUGGCACAGCAAGGAGUUUCCAUUGAAAAGAGUGCGGGUGAGCAUUCUUUUCAACAGAAACACCACGCUGGGUUUACCUCAGCAAGUGGGGACUGACUGCGGCUCUGAAUGGGAACAAGCUCCUCAAGCAGCAGCGGCUCUGCCAAUGAAACUCUGCGCUGGGUUGCGUAGGAAUUGGUUCAAUUGGCCCCCAACAGUGUCUGAGGGACAGUGAACCAGCCUCCAGUUUUAAAAGUUUGAGGACCUGUGGAGUAAGCUCUCCUGCCAGGCUUAGCUUGGUCACUUCCCUUUACCUUGGGAGGAAAUGGGUAAAUGAGACCAAUUCUCAGAUGGAAGUGGAAUUACCAAGAAGAACCCCUCUGCUUAACACCUGAGAGGGUCUGAAGGGAAGGAGGUAGUCUUUCAUUUAUCUAGGUCCUCAGUCAUUUAGGGCGUGAAACACUAAUGCCUUACCAAGGACACCUGGAAUGAGUCCCACAAACUGGCAACCAGCACUGCUGUUUAAAAACAUAAAUUAUAUCAGUUCUAAAUUGAACCUCACCCUGUAAUAUGACCACUGCAUUUUGUACCAGAUGAAAUACUGUUUAAAAGGCAGCCCUGGUACUGGAUAUGCUUUGGGGGAGUCUUGGGUUGUUUUUUAAAAAGUUCUCUAUAUAGUGGAUCAAAUUUGGCAUGUCCUGGGAGUUUCUCUUUUGAAAAUUUAUUCCAGAGGGUAAGCUGUGUUGGAUCUGUUGCAGAAAAGUUUUAGGGCACCUUUCAUAGGCCAGAACCAACUUCUUUUGAGUAUUUGUGCACAACUUAGCGUAGCGGCUUUUAAGUUUCACUUCCAGGGAUAUAGUAAGUUAACAACAGGAUAGAGGAGGUUGGUGUGUGUGUGUCGGGGAGCGGGGGGCGUGGGGGGGGGGCGGAUUGCAGCAGUAACAAGCCUAGACCAAUUUAGACUGCUUCUCUCACUGCCUUUAUUAGAGAUGGGAAUAUUGUUUUAUCUGCCAAGGAGUGUCUCCUACAAUCAGUCCGACAUGCAUUUAGCUUCACAGCAGCUGUCACAUAUUAUGGAUUUAGUAAAUAGGAGAGCUUAAAAAUUCUGUUUUGCUGUCUAUAUAUUCCCCCAAUUUACUUGCUUUUUCUUCUUGCAAACUCUGCACAUUUUAAUGUUACUUUAGUGGCUGAAAUUGCUGUGAAUACCUGGCAAGCCAGCCAGCCUAAGUGGAACUGAAACGCGGCAUACAAAUUCAAUGUCAGUUUGGAACAAUUAGCCAAAUUUUGCUUAUCUCCCCGUGUAGUGAUAAAAGCUAUUUGUUUCUAUAAGGAAUGGAAGUUUGUCUAGUCACUGAAGGGAUAUGUGAUGAUGAGUGCUGGUGAAGAAUAAAUGGAAAGGCAAUUUUUGCUGGGUGUGUUGACCUAGAAGCCGCUUUAUUGUCGAUGAGAAUAAUUAAUAUUUUUAGCAAAUUGGGUACCUCUGGGACAUGAACAUGACAUGACAGCACCAUCCCUGCUUGUGAUUCCUGCCAGUGCUUCACUAUGAGGCCUGGAAGACCUACUCCCUGCCUUGCAGGUCUUUAUUCACCUGGCUUGGGAGGCUGGGACCCUGACUGACUGCAGCUACAACAGCUGAGGCUGCUGAACAGACUCCUGGGCUGCAGUGUUGUUUGCUGGGGGUUGUUGCUUUGGGUUUUUCAAUCUUCAUUUUAGAUCUUGUGAUUUACCGUAUUUUUCGCCCUAUAGGACGCACCGGCCCAUAGGACGCACCUAGUUUUUUGGGGGGGAAAUAAAGAAAAAAUUUUUUAUCCCCCCCCCAGCCGCGGGGGAAGCCCGAGCUUUUAAAAACGCACCUACCGUAGUUUUUAGAGGAGAAAAGGAUAUCUGCCUGAAGCGCAGGGCACUCUGCUUCAGUGCGCCCCGCGCUCCGGGCAGCAGGCUGCUAUCUGCAGCCUAGGGAGCCCUGCGGGAACUCCCGCGGGCUCCCCAGGCUUGCUGAUAGCUUCCUGAAGCCUGGAGAGCAAGAGGGGUUGGUGCACACCGACCCCUCUCGCUCUCCAAGCUUCAGCGAAAGCCUGGAUUCGCCCCAUAGGACGCACACAGAUUUCCCCUUCAUUUUUGGAGGGGGAAAAGUGCGUCCUAUAGGGCGAAAAAUACGGUAUGUGGAUUUUGUUCAGUUUGGUUGUGUAUUUUUUAAUGUUUUAUUUAUUUACAGCUACUUUCGUUAUGUUGAAGCUACAUAUAUUUUUACCCCAUGUUGUAAGCCACCUUGCACACGGCUUGAAUUAUGGAAAGGCGGCAUACAAGUAAAAUAUGUGUGCAUGCAUAGCAAAAUCAUGUAAAAAUCCUUCUGGCGCUGUUAUUUAUUUCACAAAAUUUAUACACCCUCAAAGCACUGUACCACUCUUGGAUUAUAAGCAGGGGAACCACAAGGAUCACCAACCCAGCACUCAUGGGUAACAGGUUGGUGGCCCUUCUGUAUUGGGAAAUACUUUUACCUGAGAGUGAGUCCCAUUAAACUCAGCAGAUCUCACCUCUGAAUAGACAUAUGUAGGACUGCACUGCUGGGCUCUUCACUGGUUUUAGAUUUAGUGAGCUUCAGGGCACCAACACCUACAUUGCUUUUGAGAGAAGGGUGAGCCCUGAGGAGACCCAGAGUCUUCUCCUGAGCCUGUUGAUUGAGUUUUUCGUGUUUCUUCAGUGCUGUGGAUGGUUGGCACCAUUUUUCAGGGCUUACUUAGGCAACUGAGACUUGUGGGGCUUAAGAUUAUUUAUACUUGAUCACGCUGUGAUUCGGGGUUUGUGGUAUAUGUAUCAUUUAAAAGGCUUGGGUGCCCUGUUCUCCCUUUGGGGUGCUUUCUCCAGAUCCAUCCUAAUUUUGGGGAAAUCACCUUAGGCUUACUUUAAAAAAAAAUCCAAAAAUCACGUUUGCUAUUUUAUUUCAAAUUAUUUUCAGUAGAAUAUUGUAAUUCUACACACUCCCCAACCUACCUCUCAGCAAUUUUUCGUAGAUAUCUGAAGACAACACCUCUUCCUUGACAGAUUCCAAAUGACCGCAUUUGUUCCUCCUGCAUAGAAAAAUAUGAGUUUCCUUCUUCAUUUCAUCAUCCAACAAUUACCAUCUAGUAUUCUUCCUUUCUCUCUCCCUCUCCAUUUAACAAAACCCCAAAGUCAGUUGUGAUCAAAUACAUAAAAAACAAUAAGAACAUAGUGAGUAAUCACCAAUGAAAAGUCAUAACUUCUGUGGUUGUAAAUCAUGCCUGAACAAUGCACUUUCUAACCGACAUACCUUUACCACAUCUGAUCCGCGAACAUACUUACUAGGCAGAUAAUGAAUAACUUAUUCUUGGACAGAGUGGCCUAGGUUUGAUUUAUCUCUUAGUAUAAAUAAAUAAGAAAAGGCUGUCAAAUCCGGGUGAAUAAAUCUCAUCUCUCCAGGAAGGCUUGUGUAUAAGGAUGAAGGGGAGGAGAAUAAGUGAGCAGGUGCUUUUACCUUAAUUGGAGACAGAAUUUUUUUUAACCCUUUUGAAGGAGUAAAUCGUAUUGUUUCUGAAAAAUUAAAGGGCUCUGCAAAUCACAUUUUCAAGUAGAUUCUGAUCUCCUUUGCCCUUAUGGAAGCCUUGAGAUGCUGGAGUGAUUUGGGUGGGGAGUUCCUCAAUUGAAGUUACCAUAGUCUUGGAACAAGCACCCUUAAGUUGUUGUAGCUUAGUCAGUAGAGCAAGAGACUCUUAAUCUCAGGGUCAUGGGUUUGAGCCCCACGUUGGGCAAAAGAUUCCUGCAUUGCAGGAGGCUAGACUAGAUUACCCUCAAGGUUGCUUCUAACUAUGAUUCUAUUAUUGUUGCAGUUGUCACUAGGAUGUUACUGGUCUGUUAACUCUUUUACACACACACACGUACGUGUUUGGGUUAUUUGAUUGAUUGGGAACUUCCUAAUUCAUCAAUGCCUCAUUGCAGGCCCUAUGCAGUUAAACUGGUUAUUUCCUAGCCAUCCCAGCUAUUCAUGUGAUUCAGGACUCGUUCGAGCUUUUUUAGCAUUAGUGUUAAAGCCCGAGGCAAGAGCUGCAGGUACUUUCAAAUUUGGUUGAUUUCACAGAUUUAUGACAGUUGAAUUUGAAUAACCAAAUGAAUAUUUUAAUCUUGCAAGCAAGGUGUGCAUUCAUUCUGCUGUGUUUUAUUGCCUUAAUCCAGCAAGAGUGUGUGUGUUUUUUUUUUUGGGGGGGGGGGAUUCCAUGCAUAGAAGUUGGCUUCCACUCCUGCAGUGGAUACAGAUACGGGCUGCACAUCUCUGUGUCGAUCCACAUCAUGCAGUCUCAAUUGGACAUGCUGAAUGUGUCCUUUGAGGCAGCUGGGAGUGCACAACAUCAUCUAAGGGCACUUGUUGUUGCUGUUGUUUUUUUGUAGGGUGCUAGGGACGCGGGUGGCGCUGUGGGUUAAACCACAGAGCCUAGGACUCGCCGAUCAGAAGGUCAGCGGUUCGAAUCCCCGCAACGGGAUGAGUUCCCAUUGCUCGGUCCCUGCUCCUGCCAACCUAGCAGUUCGAAAGCACGUCAAAGUGCAAGUAGAUAAAUAGGUACCGCCCCAGUGGGAAAGUAAACGGCGUUUCUGUGCGCUGCUCUGGUUUGCCAGAAGCGGCUUAGUCAUGCUGGCCACAUGAUCCGGAAGCUGUAUGCCGGCUCCCUCAGCCAAUAAAGCGAGAUGAGCGCCGCAACCCCAGAGUCGGCCACAACUGGACCUAAUAGUCAGGGGUUCCUUUACCUUUACCUUUAGCUGCAUCUGGCCUGUUUAAUAUCACAACACAUGAGUACACAACACUCAUGUAGAUAGCUUUCUUAUAUUUAUUGGUGAUGGGUUCCUGAGAAGCUCAGAAUAGCAAAGAAACAUGGCCACAGUCAUACAGGUAUGCAGGCAAUACAUUCAGAUUGCCAGGCCACAGACUGAGUGGGACACUCUGUGUUAAAAGCUUUGAAAGGAGAGAGGUGGGAGAAGAUUGGCGAGUGAGGCUUCUCACCUCGCCACAGCAAUGUGACAGGGAAAAUCAGAACAGUCUUUGAGAAAGACUUCUCUUUGUCUCAGAGUUCUUAAGCACAGGAUGGGAAACUUUGUCUGGGAUCACAUUGUUAUGAUUCUAAAUCGGCCAGGGCCUUCAUUUUUAGGAGUAUACAGGCAGAUUUUCUCAUCCAGACUGGAACAUGCACUUUUUCACAGCAAUCUAUAUAUGUACAUGUUCCCAAAUGUUCCCUCUCUGCCCACCCCCAUGUAUGUCAAGUUGACCGCCUCAUUGUCUACCACAGAACUCUAUGGCUUGCACAGGAUUCUGGGGUCGUGUUCUAGGAUAUACUCUCUGUUCAAACAAGGUGCUGGCCUGCUCUGCUGACAUGGUGACUUGAGAGAGGUUCUCAACAAAGACAGUCUUCUGGGGCUGCCCAUUGUGAAAUGGUGGUAGGAGCCACAAAGUUUCUUCCUUUUUUAUGCAGAGAUAUUUCCAGAGAGUAGCACUAGUUGAUUUCUCCGCAGCCCAGUGCCGAUUGGGUUGCAGGGUUCCAUCUUGCCCCUAGUGAAGCUGCUGGGUGCAGUCAUCAUAAAGUUUGGGGUGUGGAGCUUGGUCUCAUCAGUAUGCUGAUGUCUUCCAAUUCUGUAUGUCCAUUACAUCAGAACGACUGUAAUACACUCUGUAUGGGGCUGCCCUUGAAAACAGUAAACUGCAGCUAGUGCUGAAUACUGACACCUCAAUGAAUAGUCACAUAACACUAGUUUUGUGGAAUCUGCAUUACCUGCCCAUAUAUUACCAGUCCCAAGUUAAUGUUCUUAUGGUGAUGUAUAAAGCCUGAAUCACCUGGGACCUGAAUAUCUGAGAGAACACAUCUGCAAAUACCAACCUGUCUGGGCUAUUAUAUCAGCACUCCCAGCAAAUGUUUAUCACUGUAUGAGAACCCAAGAUAGGGCCUUCUCAGUGGUGGCACCCCAUUUAAUGGAACUCCCCCUUGUGGCAUGGUUGAGCCUUUGUCACUACCUAAAUAUGUUUUUAUCCACAUAGACCUAUGGUAGAUCUAUUUGGCUGUUAUUUAUGGAUUUUAAAGCUUUGAUGCUGCCCUAUUCUGUAGGUUUUAUGGUAUUCUUACAUUAUUUGGUGUUUUAUUGUAUUUCAUAAUUUCUAUUGCACCUGUUCAAAAUGUAUCAUUUAUAUUGACAUUGUUUAUUAUUGUCGGGUUUUUGGAAACCCUUUGGUGAUCAUUUUCCUUGAUGAAAAGUGGUAUACAAUUGCUUGUAUAAAUAAAUAAAAAUAAUAAUUUGGGUAACUUCUUUUGGUGAGGUGCAUCACUUAGUGGGCUGCCUGCAUAUUUGCCUCCAAGAGAUUGGCGGCAGUUGUUAAGAGUUACAGUGAUAAAUAGGUAGUGGAAAUUUUAGCUUUGAACACCCAGUUGAGGUGAGAAGCUUUCUUCAAAGAUAAACUUACAUCCUCAGUUGUCCUCUUACUUUCCCCAUUGACAUUAGAUAUGAUUUACAGCUGUGCAAAGUGAGUUUUUGAGUAAGACCCCUCCUCUCCCAAUCUGCUACAUAGAUCAUUCUUACUUGAUAAAUGAGUCUCAAUUAGUCUAAAGCAUUUGCUGAAGUUCAGUGCAUGUGGGGGUUCUAGAAUUCUAAGACGGUUUGUAGACCCAGAAACAAGAUCGCUGUAUUUUUUUAUUUUUUAUUUUAAAUCACCCUGCUCAGAUUCAUUAGGUGGGAAAGCCAGUAUUGGCUUUCAUGGCAUAAGUUAAGCUGCUUAUGUAUACAAUGCUGGCAGCAAUAUGGAUGGAAAAAGCAUGUGUUGAAUACAUCUCGAGUGUCUUGGGUCUCUGAAGGUCACUCUGCUAAAGUAAUAUAUAGUGCCAGUAUUGGUGGCUCAAGGUCAAGUCAGCUUGCUUUUCAUAAUGCAUAAACCUGAAGCUCUCUCAGACACCAAUCAUCUGACCUAAAACCUUGGAACAAAUAUUUUACUAAGUAAAUCAGUGAGCAUGCUGGCAUUUCUAUUAACCUUCAAUGCACUGGUGACAGGAAAUGAAUAAUGAUAAAUAAUAACUCAGGCCUGUAAAUCAUACUUAACAUCACAGGCAGGAAAGGGGGGAAAUUCUGGUAGGCUACCAUCUGUUAAGAGUAGAGCUGGAAGAGCUUGCUUGGAGAAAACAAAGGGGAGCGCACUUGCCCCUUUUCCCAAAGGCUUCCCAAGGUGCCCUUAAUAAUACAGUGAAAGGAAACAUUGAUUUGAAAAUAUAGGUUUCCUAAACCAGACCGAGGUAGGUUAUGUAGGGGACCUUCAUGUGAGGCGGUGAGAUUGUUUUCAGUCCCUAGUCAGCAACUUAUUUUACUAGGUGUCAUAUCUGUGACAGGGCAGGAGCCAAAGGGCCAGCAAAAUAAGGCUGUACCUAUGGACACACUCCCAUAUGAAGUAUGGCAGAGGCAAAAGGCUCCUGAAUCCCUCUUUGUCACUAUGAACACAGCAAAGGAUUUAGCAGAGCCCUCCUCUUAUGAUGAAGUUUAGCUGUUCACUUCCGUUCCACUUGUCCGUGGGUAUGAACAGCUGAGACACACUGCCAUUGUCUCCUGCUGUUUAGGGAGAAAGGACUGAGAGCCCUUUGCCUUACUUGGAGGAAAGUGGCUGGAGUACAGUUGUCCAUGAGACGGGGGGCGAUGCUUAUAUUCUUCCUGGUGGAUAUUGUGUCAUUAAUUGUUGAUGGUUGCACUUUUAAUUUCUUGCUUUUCUGUGUGUUAUCUGUUGCCUGAGACAAAAAAUAAAUCCAACAGAUUUAUGUUAAAUAUGCCUUGUAUUUUAUUUCUUGUCCCAAAUGAGUUUGCAAGCAUCAUUCCCUGGGGCCCAAUUCAUACGUAGGCCCAGUCCUUGCAGCACAGUUACUGCCAGGGCCCUGAAUGGCAAAUGCAUGGUUACUUCUAUGUGGGAAACAAGGAAUGUGUAGAUCCAGUUUAACCACAUGAACCCUGCACCUACUUUUGCUGUUCUCUGAAACUAUCCCAGAAGUUGGAAAGGAAGCACUUAGUCCUUUUUUAUAGAAUGUUAUUUAUCUGUUUAUGUGAUCAUGGAUAGCCUGCAUCAUCAGCCCUAGAAAGGGCUCUCAAGAGUAGCCAACAGAGCAUAUGAAAACACCAAAUCACGUUAAGAGUAAAAUGAACAGUAUCAAAUGAAGCACAAAACUAAUUCCACUGCAGCACACAUGGCAGCAGCCACAGAUGACGACAACCUUCAAAAACGAGAAAGUGCAUUAGAGAGAAAAUGUGUGCCUAAACAAAGCUGUUUUCACUUGUCACCUAUAUCCACACAGCGAGGAAGGCCUGCCAAAGUUCCUUUUUUUUUGUAAGAUAUUUAUUAAGGUUUUUUGAAAUAUUACAACAAAAAUGAAAAAGAAAAAAGAAAAAUACAAAAUAAAAACAGUUAAAAACACACAUAUUUUCCGUUACUUAUUUUCCUUAAGCUUAUUUCCCGGACCUCCUCGUACCUCCCUUUUUUGUAUUCCACUUCAAUUUAUUGGUUCAGCAAAUCCUUACCAUUAGAUUUUAACCCAUUUAUAACCCUUUUUUCAUAUUCUCUUAAAGCAUUACAGCUAGAAACCGCUAAAUUACUAUCCAACAUCAUUCUAUCAUUCAUUAAUUUUACAAUAUUUCUGUAAAUAGUCUUCAAAUUUCUUCCAAUCUUCUUCCACCGACUCUUCUCCCUGGUCUCGGAUUCUGCCAGUCAUUUCUGCCAAUUCCAUAUAGUCCAUCACCUUCAUCUGCCAUUCUUCCAAAGUGGGUAGAUCUUGUGUCUUCCAAUACUUUGCAAUGAGUAUUCUUGCUGCUGUUGUAGCAUACAUAAAAAAAUUCUGUCCUUCUUUGGCACCAAUUGGCCGACAAUGCCCAGAAGAAAGGCCUCUGGUUUCUUCAAGAAGGUAUAUUUAAAUACCUUUUUCAGUUCAUUAUAUAUCAUUUCCCAGAAAGCCUUAAUCCUUGGGCACGUCCACCAAAGGUGAAAGAAUAUACCUUCAGUUUCUUUACAUUUCCAACAUUUGUUAUCGGGCAAAUGAUAGAUUUUUGCAAGCUUGACUGGGGUCAUGUACCACCUGUAUAUCAUUUUCAUAAUAUUCUCUCUUAGGGCAUUACAUGCCGUAAACUUCAUACCUGUGGUCCAUAACUGUUCCCAGUCAGCAAACAUUAUGUUAUGUCCAACAUCUUGUGCCCAUUUAAUCAUAGCAGAUUUCACCGUUUCAUCCUGAGUAUUCCAUUUCAACAGCAAGUUAUACAUUCUUGACAAAUUCUUAGUUUUGGGUUCUAACAGUUCUGUUUCUAGUUUUGAUUUUUCCACCUGGAAGCCAAUUUUCUUAUCCAAAUUAUAUGCCUCCAUUAUCUGAUAAUAGUGAAGCCAAUCUCUCACUUUGUUUUUAGUUUCUCGAAACUCUGCAAUUUCAAUUUGUCUCCUUCUUGUUCCAAAAUUUCCCAAUAUUUCGGCCAUUUGGCCUCCAUAUUGAGCCUUUUCAGAGCUUUCGCUUCCAUCGGUGACAACCACCUUGGGGUUUUAUUUUCCAAUAAAUCCUUAUAUCUUAUCCAAACAUUAAACAGUGCUUUCCUGACAAUAUGAUUUUUAAAUGCUUUAUGUGCUUUGACCUUAUCAUACCAUAAAUAUGCAUGCCAUCCAAAUACGUUGUUAAAACCUUCUAAAUCCAAAAUGUCUGUGUUUUCCAGAAGUAGCCAUUCUUUCAACCAGCAAAAGGCUGCUGAUUCAUAAUAAAGUUUAAAGUCUGGCAGGGCAAAUCCACCUCUUUCCUUUGCGUCAGUUAAUAUCUUAAAUUUUAUUCUGGGCUUCUUGCCCUGCCAGACAAUCUAGAAAUAUCUCUCUGCCACUUCUUGAAACAAUCCAUCUUGUCCACAAUUUGCAAUGUCUGAAACAAAAACAACAUUCUAGGCAAUACAUUCAUUUUUAUCGCAGCAAUACGGCCCAGCAGUGAAAGCUUCAAAUUUGACCAAAUUUCUAAAUCUUUUUUCACUUCCGUCCAACAUUUUUCAUAAUUAUCUUUAAAUAAGUUCCCAUUUUUGGCUGUCAUAUUAAUCCCCAAGGCCUGCCAAAGUUCCUGGAGCAAUGAAUUCCAUUUCCUAUGUACUGCUGUAGAGAAGGUCUGGUCCUGUGCCCCUAUCCUGCACAUCUUCGCAAGCAGCAGGGCCACUUCUGAUUAUCACAGUGUACAGGAAGAGAAAGGUCUGUAGCUCAGUAGUACAACACCUGCUUUCCAUGCUGAAGGUAUUAGGUUCAGUCUUCAGCAUUUCCAGGUAGAGACUCCUGCCUGAAAUCCUUUUGAGCCACUGCCAGUCAGUGUAGAAAAUACUCUGCUAGAUGGACCAUUGCUCUGAUAAGGCAGCUUUCUGUGUUCCUAUGUGCAGAAGGAAAGGGUCCUUCAGAUCACUUAGUCCCAAACUGUUAGGGCUUCAAAUGUGAUAACCAUCAUUUUGAACUGGAACCAGGAGCCAGUGCAAUUGAGAUAAAACUUGUUACAUGGUCUGGUUCCUGUCAGUAGCUUUGUCACUGCAUCCUGCACCUGCUGAAGCUCCUGGACAUGAUUUCAAGGACAGCCCCACAUAGAGCCAUUGCAGUAAUCUUAUUUUGAAGUGGCCAGGGUAUGUACAACUCUGGCAAGAUCAGCUCUGUCUGUAAAAGAUUGUGGUUGGGACAUCAGAUGCUCUUGGCCACCACCACAACAACCUGCUUAUCCAGGAGCAAAGCUAUAUCCAGAAAAAAAACUCCCAAACUACAAGUCUAUUACUUCUGGUGGAGUACAGUGCUGUCCAAAGCUGCAGUGGAUGGGAUGAGCCUCUGGCUCUUCUUGUGGACAUAAUUCCAAAUGUUUCUUGCAAUCCUGUUGCUUUUAAAACAAAGGCUGAAGGUGACUCAAUCAUUCUAUAGCUACCUUCAUAUGUAUGCUUCUUGGGGUUUGAAGCUGUGUGAUACGUUGCUUAGUGUUAUUCUAGUCUAGAGAACAGUAUCCAAAAUCUAGAAUGAAAACUACUAAAAAAAUUCUGCAGAUUACCAAGUGCUCCCUAGAAAGCUGAAAGAACUCAUUGAGUCUUAAAAGGAUGCAGAUUUCAGUUGCUUCAUGUUAGAUGAUUACCUGCAUAAGUAAUCUUAUUUGAGAACUGUUCUUUGCUGGAAUUGUUCUGUAUGGUUCAAUUCAUAGAUUGCCCCCUCAGUACUAAUACUGCAAGAGGAUAUUUGUGCCAUGUGGCAAACUCCAGUAGUAGCAGACCAGUAAACCUUAUAUCUAUCAGUGGAAAUGCCAAACUACCUGGAUCUAAUCUGGAUAAUCAGUGAACCAUUGCAUCCUUUGGCUUGGGAAUAAUGUGUGCCCCCCCUUUUUUUUACUGUCUAGACCUCUCUUCAGCUGUGAUUACUUUUGACUACAUGAUCUGAAUAGACUGUAAGAAUCUGACUCCAUCGCAUUGCCCUAAUAAUAUCUCUCUUGUUCUUUAAUUAUCUCCUAUAGUAUCUUGAGUUACUUGCAAGAUUGACACAUCCAACUAGCCACACUGGUGAGUCUCUCUAUCUAUUGAUCGAUCAAUUGAUCUAAUUUUACCCUUGGUUCAAGAAGCUCAGAGUGGUGUACAUAUACAUAUUGUUAUUUUUUAUAUCCUGCUGCUAAACACAGAGAUGGUUCUUACAAAAAAAAAAAAAAAAGACAAAGAGCAAACAUAUAAAUAUUGCUUUGACUCUUCUUUGUAUUUUACAGACUCUACAUAUUUGCAUGGAAAUAACUUCCAUUUAUUUCAAUGGGACUUUAUUGCAAGUUAGUGUGCCACCGCUUAUGAUUCUACCCUUUGGGACUGGAGGUGGCUUCUCUAGAACCUAUAAUUAGAAAGCAAAAAAUAAAACAGUAAAAGCAAAAUGAAGACACUGGUUUCCAGUUAGCAAGAAGAAAUAUAUUGCAAAAAUAGAUGUAUUCUCUUUUGUCAGGUGCCAUAGUCUGGUCUGAGCCUAGCCAAAGGCUACAUUAGCUCUUCAGCUCCUUGACUGUAGAAGUGGUACCAGGAGCAAGAGGAGGAGCAGGCCAGGAAAGGGUGUGGAGAAUGGCCUUCCUCGGUGAUCAGACUCAUUAUUCCCCAACAGCGGGGUUCCAUAGGAGGCAGUGGCUUGGGAUUUGUUCUCUGGGAAAAUCACCUAGUAUGAGGAGUAUUCUCGCCUUCAUUUUUAGCAGCUUGGUUUCAGCUGCCUGAAACUAUCUUCUCUGACUGGUGACUCCACCGAUGUGAGAAGUAGGGAACUGGUGCCCAACCAGCCAAGUUCUUGGUUCAAAUCCCAUUGCACCUGAUGAAAAUGUGCCUAACAGUUAUGUCAAGGACAGGGAUCCUGUGGCCCUGCAGAUGUUGCUGGAGCCCAACUUCCAUAAUGCCUGACUGUUGGCCAUGCUAGAUGGGGCUGAUGGGAGUUGGAUUCAAUCAACAUCUGGACUACUAUAGAUGUAAAGAACAACGUAGCAUUAAGCAAUGGAUGUGCACAACUGAAAUCUGAAAAUGUUUGCCUUGUUUUGUUUCAUGCUUAUGUGCUAACAUAAGCUUCCCCAUCCCAUAAUAUACUACCAACAUAACAUAAUAAGUCCAUUAUUAUGUUGGAUCACGUAUUAUAAGAAUCCCGGCUUCUGUCUUAAUAGAGGGCAGACUAUGGAGCCUAACAGUUAUCUGCAUGCACAUGUAUACCUGUGUGUGUGUGUGUGUGUGUGUGUGUGUUGUAUCUUAUUAAUAUGCAUGUGUAAUAUAAUACUAAUCUCAAUAUUUUGAUGUUAUGUGGUUAGGUGCUGCAUUAAUUUCUCUAAUCUUGUUAUUGUUCUUCUGUUGUAAGAGAAAAGAAAAAGAAAGAUGAAUCUUAACCUGAAUGAACUGGUAGAUUAGUUGAUUUAUUUUACCCAUUGCCUAGACCUGGUCCUCCCCAGAGAAAGCCUUUCCAAUUAAGCAAAAAUAAGCCAAACUGUGUAAUGUGGAUUCUGAUGGAUGCUAACCCCUACAAGAGACAGACAAAUUAAUUUUCAAGACUUUAACAUGUAGUCUGUAGCCAGUUCCUAAACAGAAAGCUCAGCGUUUUAUCCCUUUAAUCUCUACCCUCCACUUUUUCAAAUACAAAUUAAAUCAUUUAACAAUGAUUUAAUAAGCACUAAAAAGUGUAAUGAACCGGGUAAUGAAUAGGCGCUCAUAUUUUAUUUUCCCACUUUGUGCACAAACUACUGUGCAGUCCUCCUUGUACAUUUCGUUGGAGCUUCCAGAGGAGAACGUCCCGUUGAGUUAGGCCCUUUCUCCUUUAUUUUGCACAUUCCUGAUUCAUCUAAGCCACAAAAGAAUAAUCACGAGAACAGGUGAAAACCCCCACACUCAUAUGGACUGAAAUUUUGUCUUGGGAGAAGAAUGGUGUGGCCAUCACAAAUAAAGGCAAAGCACAACAUUGGAGGGGAUUCCGCACUUGAGAUGUUCCCUUACAAACUACUUGUACCUUCUCCCAUCCUUAAAAAUAGUUGUGGGGUUGAAGCUGGCCUUCAAGUGUAGAGUAGUGUUCUGAACAUACACAUAAAAUUUCACUCUAUUAUGUCAUUAUUCCUGACUCCCUUGAAACCAGAUCUGGUUUGCAGAGGCAUGAAGUGUAACUAGUGUCCCUUGCACCCUCAGCGGGAGUGGUGACAAUUUCACCCCAGCCCUUUGCCAGGGCUGGGGUCGCUGCAGCUUGUAAACGGCCUUGGUCCCGUCUCCACCCCGCCCCCAUUGUUCAGCCCGGACACUGAGAUCCAGUGCUGAGGGCCUUCUAGCGGUUCCCUCAUUGUGAGAAGUGAGGUUACAGGGAACCAGACAGAGGGCCUUCUCAGUAGUGGCACCCACCCUGUGGAACGCCCUCCCAUCAGAUGUCAAGGAAAUAAGCAGCUAUCCUAUUUUUUAAAGACAUCUGAAGGCAGCCCUUUUUAGGGAAAUUUUUAAUAUUUAAUGCUGUACUGUUUGUAACACUCAAUUGGGAGCCGUCCAGAGUAGCUGGGGAAACUCAGCCAGAUGGGCAGGGUGUAAAUAAUAACUUGUUGUUGUUGUUGUUCCCACCUCUGCGCGGAGUGAUGGCGUGAUCACUUAGAAGUGAUGGCGAUUUUACCCACAGUAUACUGCCAGGUGAAGGCGCCAUUGCACUCUGGCCCUCAAUAUAUCACCCAGGCCUACAGUGAAUGAUGAGGAAUGCGAUCUUGGGAGUCACAGUGGAUAACGUUGGAACCAUUGUGCAGCAGCUGUGAAAAAAGGCAAAUUCCAUAUUACAACUGCCCAUAUAAUAAUGCCACUAAACACAUCUGUGGUGCAACCACAUUUAGAAUAUUAUGUACCAUUCUGAUCACCUCACCUUAAAAAUGAAUGUUGUGGAGUUGGUAAAGGUGCAGAAAGGAGCAACUGAAAUAAUCAGAAUAGUGGAACAACUAUAUUCUGAGGAAAGGUAGCAGUAUUUUAGCCUUUUUAGUUUGGGGGCAAAGUGGGGACAUAACAGAGGCGAGUAAAAUUAUGUGUAGUGGAAAGAAAGUAGUGGAAAGUUCUGACUGAUCAGGAUCACAUUCUGAACAUGAUGACACCACAGUGUCAUAUAGCCAAUCAGAUUUAGCAAUGUCCUGAUGUCACUGAGGACAAAUGAAGCCCAUACAGAGAGGGCAACAUUUCCUAUACCGGUCACAUGACUAGCCCUAGCUUAAAUAGGACUGAUUCUCAGAACUGAGUUACUUCUCAGCCCUUUCAUAAUGAUCCCUGAAAACUUACCCACCAUUUUGGGCUUAGCUCCCCAUACCAGAUGGUCCAUCUCAGAGAAGUAAAUGAUAAUGUUGUUCUUACUGGCUAUCUAAGCAGCAGCAACAGCAACAACAAAACUUAACCAGAGUUUGUUUCUGUGUGUAUAAGUGUGCUGGUUUACACAUUUGCUUCCCAAGUAUCAUACUUAUCUGCAUAAUAUAAUAUGUGAUCCCAAGCAUUAAACACAAAGGUACUGUGCACACUAUCCUUUUGGCUGUUUUUUAAAAGACUUUAGAGUUAACUAAGAUGAAUCUACAGAUUAAUUAAAAUUAAACAGUGGGUAUUCAUUUUGUGGUACAGUCCAUGAUGAAUAGCUCUGAAACCCACGUCACAAAUGAAUAAAUGGUUCUUCAUCUAUUCCAUGUGACUUUAUAGACAACUUGAUAUAUUGUAGCCAUAGAUGUCUCAAUGAAUGUAAUCACUUGAUCAUAAUAGAUCAUAUUGCAUUAGGAUAUGACCGGAGAUGUAAUUUACUAUCCAAAGUGUGAGGUAUUAGCACUGCUGAAAUAAUCUCUACAUGGAACAAAGCACUUUGAAUUCAUUACGCGCAGGCUUUGGACUUUAAAACGUUAAUAAUAUUGUAAACUAAAGGUACACUUUGUGUACCAUAAAUCUAAGUGUCUGUUCAUCCUUUGCGCUCAAUAAAUAUACUUCUCAUCAACUUUUAAUUAUGCUGUUUACAUUAUUCUGUCCUGAAGAGGAUAACGCUCAGUAAAUCACUUACUUCUAGUGUAUACUGCAGCAUAAGUUUAGUUAAUUAAACCAUAUAUUUUAUUAGUUCUUGCACUUCCAUCUUGCAAAAGUAUACACUGCUCUUCUGGGGGGUGGGGUGGAAAUAGGGAGGUCUUUAUUUAUGUUAGAGUCAGUGCUAGAGAAACUGCAUGCAGCUUGAUUUUUUUUCUUAACAUUUUCCAGUAAUGAUGGGCUACUCUCAGCCAACAGAUGGCACCAGAGAGCAAGAAAGCAAAUCAUAGGGGAACCAACAACCUUAGAGGUUUCCGCAUAGGACAGGGUCCCAUUACUGUUGGAGGAUGGCUGGAUUUGGAAGCCAUUUCCAUUUCCAGCUACUUAGUGUCACAAUUUUCACUGGCGGGCGUGGGGUGGGAAUGAUUGAAAGCGGCUUCAUGACACACUAAGAUUCAAAUGUUACUUUUAAGCCCAUAAUCUGACCAUUCUGAUUAGCUACAUUUAUGAGUAGAGAUGUGGCCAGCCAUAUCGUUAAGGGGAGUGAGACAGCCACCUCAGGCAGAAGAUCCCGGGGUGCUGGAGGCCAGAGCUAUGCCCUGCAUUCCCUAAAUCAGUGUUUCUCAACCUUUUUCCGAACGUGGCCCCCUUCCAACCUUGUUUUCUUCCUGUGCCGCCCCCCACCCACCCAUCCUACUGGUACAAAGGCCAUCUUUCUAGUGCAACCCCCUGCAAUGUAGGAGACUCAGCUAAAGCAUCUGACAGUUGACCAUCCAACCUCUGCUUAGAAACCUCCAUGGAAGGAGAGUCCACAACCUCCCAAGGGAGAUCCAUCUUCCAUGUAUUAUAAAAAGUAAACAACACUUAUUUGACCCCAUUUAUUUGACACAGAGGGGGAAACCUACAGAUACAGUCCAAAAGUUGCACAGGGAGUUCUGUAUAUAUGGGCAAAAAAGCAAAAAGAUCUUGCCAUCCAGAGAAGCCCUGGCUGCCUAGAUAAAACACUACAGUCCCACAUACCCUUGCAUGGGAGUAAGGCCCACUGAACUCAGUGUGGCUUUCUUCUGAGUAGACACUUAGUUAUUUACUAGAUGCAAGACAGCAGCAGCAGAAGGCCCCACUCCGCUAGGCUCUGGGAUGGAUUGCACCCUGCGCCUUGAGGUGCUGGCCGAUGCUGCCGAUGAGUCCUGUUGGGAUUUUUCAUAGAAUCAUAGAAUUGGAAGGCACCCUGAGGGUCAUCUAGUCCAGCCCCCUGCAGUGCAGGAAUUGGGGGUGUUCUAAAUACUGGUGCAUAACUGCAUUCUGAUCUGCACAUCAGUUUGACAGGUGCAGAUCAGGUGAGUGUAUAUAUUUCUCACAUGCUGAAAUCCUCACAAUAUAUAAGCAGAACAAUUCUGGCCCAGCCUUCAUGAUUUUGCAUAUUAAUAAGGAAAGUAGGCAUUUUGUGGUAUCCCUUCAGAGAUUAGUCUUUUCCCUCCACUUAUAAUUGAAUUAGCAUUGACCCCCCCCCCACCUUGCACACAGGAAAAAGUGCUCAUCCGCUUAUAAGAUCUAUGUAGACCAUUGUGAAGCGAUUGAAAGACAUUCUCCUGUAAUCAGAAUACAAGUUGUGUGGCUUCUCAAGAAGACAAUCUAUUUACCAGAUGUUUUCAAUGUCAAAGCAUCCCCUUGGGGCUGGUUUUGCCCAACCCCCACCACUUAGUGAGGGAAUUCCAAAUACAUUAGCUCCACCCCUCCAUUGUCCUCCAUGAAAUGUAUUAGGCCAGGUAUAUUGCCAGUGAUGCAGUGUUUUUAAAUCUUUUUUUCUGAUUCUCAGCAGAUACAAUGUGGAAAUUAUUUCCCUGCCAUAAUAUAUUCCAGUUUCUGGCUCCCAGCACUUAACCAGUGUCUUAUUCCCAGGCUAUACUAACACCAGAUGGACUGGUAGGCCUGGUAUUCAAUAGGCUAUCAUAUAUGUUUGAAACUAGGCCGUUCCAGGAACUCUGGGCAGUUGGCCCCAGUCCCUCAAACUGAGCCCCACUCCUGUUAUUUAACAACAGGAUAUUUUUAAAAGCGAGUAACCUGUUGUAACAGUAGCCCAAGGAUUUGAGGAUUCUGCAAAGUUGCUUUAAUGUAAUCCUGUGUCACUGGUAGCCCACGGUUAUAGAAAUCUCUUGUGCAAUAUUGUCCCCACUUCCUCCAGGUGGACAGUUGUUGGGCUCUAUCUCUGUUGUUAAAGAGCGAAUGACCUCAGGGGAAGAAGAGGGGUGAGUGGAAGAGACAGUGGGAUUUGCCAUCUAGACCAGACUUGCAUGGUGCAAUUUAAAGGAGGAUUCUUCACUAAGUCAAAUUGUUUUCCUGUCAAAGAGAGAAGCAGAAAUGUAUCCAAUGUUCUGUUGUCCUGUUCUAUGGUCACCCAUUGUUCAUCUUCCCCAUUAAUAAGAAAGUAGAUGCAUUGACAUCAGUUUGAUCCAAUGAGUUCCCACAAAGAUAGAUACAUUAUUUCAGGAAACCACUUUUAAUGUCUAAUUUGGCUUCCUGCACCACAAGGUUAAAGUUACUUUCCUGAAAUUUGUGUAGGUUAUUUGGGAUCCAAACACCUAGUUAUUUAAUAAUCUUAUGGCAAGGGACUGCCCAAAUGGCCACUUGAUCCUUGAUGACUUCUGGGACCAAUGUGAACGUAGACUAUUUCUGAUUUAUGAUAGCUGAGAGAUAGACCUGCCAAUAUACCGUUGGUCUCAAAUCAAUUUGUGCAUUGGAUUUGCACAUUGAACACGAUGGAUUGAAUAAAACAGUUGAUUUUAGCUGUGAUUUUCCUCUGGUGUGCUUAACUUUAUAUAUAUAUAUAUAUUUGUAAUGUUAUUGAGUUAUUAAGUAUAUUGCUAGCUUGUGCAUUUACAGUGGUACCUCGGGUUACAGACGCUUCAGGUUGCAGACUCUGCUAACCCAGAUAUAGUACCUCGGGUUAAGAACUUUGCUUCAGGAUGAGAACAGAAAUCGUGCGACGACAGCAGCAGGAGACCCCGUUAGCUAAAGUGGUGCUUCAGGUUAAGAAAAGUUUCAGGUUAAGAACGGACCUCCAGAACGAAUUAAGUUCUUAACCCGAGGUACCACUGUAAUUUGAACAGAGGUGGCAACACUUUCCGAGUAGACGACUACAUUCCCUUGGAGUAAAGUGGCCAGGGUGGUGGAUGGGGCCAAAGCAAAAAGUGGGUGUGAUGUCCCUUCUUUCCUCCUCCCCAUCCACCCAUGGGAAAAUAAAACUGCUAGCACUUUUGCAAAGCUAAGCAGGGUCCAGUAAGGUUUCAAAUUGGAUGGGGGACCCCGUGUUGAGAUUUCCUACAUUGCAGAGGGUUGAACCUAGAUGGCUCUUGGGGUCCCUUCUAACUCUACAGUUAUAUGACCUGAUUCUAUGAAACAUUCUUUCUGCCUCCUUCCCAGAUGUAUGAGGAAGUGGGGUGUUGUAUAUAACCUCCUGGGCUGGAGGUUGCUGUCCUGUGAAUUACAGAAUGAAUCUGGGCAGAAUAAGUCUCCGGCUUGAGGUUACAUGAAUGAUGGUGUUUGCCUGCUGUUUCUCCCCGUCAACUACCGGUAGUUCUUUGGUUCACCGAGGAAGUUGUGUAUUUUUGGCAUACCCAUGUUUGUCAGAAACUGUUUAUUCACUCUGCAUGUGCAUUUGUUGUUGAGAUGAAGGAAGACAUCUCUGGAUUUUUAUUUAUUUUUUGGUAGCAUGACUUAAAAGGAAAAGCACCGCAUAAGCAAAUUGGCAGUUUGUUAAACAUAAUGAACGAGUAUAUACCCCACUUCUGAAAUAACUGUUACAGAAAUCUGGUUGCUUUUUCCAGUUCCCUUUUAAAAUUAAUGCACCAGUUCCGUUUAAAAAUUCUUCUUAAGCCACAAAAGGACACAGGAAGGCAUGGGAGCUUCAAAACAGUGAGGCCGCUUAUUCUCUCUUUGAGAUGGUUAAGAGCCCUACACAUUUUUCCUCUCCCCUCCCUCCCUCCCUCUCUCUCCCCCAUUGUGUGUUAUUGAUGGAGUGUACACUUCUCUAACCCCACUGCUCAGUACUUAAUACAAAAGUGGCCCGGAGCUCUGAACCUAUAUGCUUUGACUUUAAACACAAGCAGCAAAACUAAAGCUCACUGAAAACAAUGACAUUUAUUCAUAAUAUUAUCACCAGACAGAGGGGUCACAAAGAAAGAAAGUGCUUUCUCUUUUAACUGCAGAAGGAGCGGGGGAGGCCCCCUGGAGGUAGAUGUAGCUUCUGUAAUGGAACCCACCUGACGGAAACUGUUCUAUGAUACUUGCCAGCCGAAGAGCACCUAUAGCUUUUACUUGGGGUGGGGGGGGGAGGAGCAUGUGGCCGUAUGAUUAUGAAUUGACGGCUGUGAGCUGAAUUAAGCAGCAAGUAGCAAUGUUCCAUUUAAAAGACACUGCAUGCACCCCUUCCCCAGAUAGCCUCAUUUUUUGCUUCUUUCUUUUUACAAGUCUCCAAAGAGGCUUUAAAAGUGCUUCCAAGUCAGUACUGCUUGAAGUUAAUUAAAAGGCAUUCAGCAGUGUGAUGCGUUUACACAGGGUGGCUGGGAUUACUCAGAUGUUGCAGGACGCCUCUCUGUUAAUGGCUGAUGUAGCGAUAGUGGUAAUGCUUCUGAUAGCGAUGGCUAGACCAAGGAUGGCUGGCCAACAUCUGUAGGGGCAACAUUUCUCAGGAAAUAGCGGGAGGGAGGAGGUUGUAUCAUCUUACGUUCUUGAGCAGCCUCAGAUUUGGAGCGAGUGGGGUUUGCUUCACUCAGAGUCCUCCUCUAUUCCUUACCCAGCAGCAGUGGGGAACAGCCACCCAAUUAUUUGGUUUGCAGGAAAUUUGUAGGGGCCCCUGACAAGACAUUUUGGACUGCCAUGAUUAUGAAGGGCAGCUGUGGGCUGCCCCAAUUCAGCCAGUAGUUUCUUUGGGGUUUGGUGCAGGAUCUCUGAGGCACCCCUUGUUCUUCCCAUUUGAGAGCUGUGACACACACACACACACACACACACACACACACAGUAUUUGUGUUCCAUACAAAGACUUUAACAAGAUAGAUAACAUUUAAAGGAGACGUGGCUAAACUAUGGCUGCCCAGAUGUUCUGAACUACAAUUUUUGUCAUAUCUAGCCUUUGGCCAUGCUGGAUGGGAAUUAACCACCCCUGAUUUAAAGUGGGCAAUAUCUCUGAUUCCGACAAGUUGUGAACAUAUCCUUAUUCUUUUUAGUGAAACAGUUUUCCCCCCUCUUGACUGGAAACUUGUACAACUGCUAGAUCAAAAGGAUAUCAAAAUGGAUUCCAGUUUGUGGGCCCAUUGACCACCCCUGAUCCAUACCAUUGAAAAGAAGCAACUCAUUUGCAGAGAGCAGAAACAAGCUGGGUCAAAGGGUAUAGGCAGACUGAGCUACAAGGAGGACUUUGAGCCUAAGGAAGACCCUACAUGCAAUUGCGAUGAGUACUUCCCAUAGAAUCUCUUCAACUGAGACUCCUCACAUAAUACAGGAGAGACGGGGUGAUUUAUAUGUUGAAAAUUAUCAUUUGUCUGGUGAGCGAAGUUUGAAACAGCAGUCCCCUGAUAGGAUUUUUGAAAAUGUGUUUCUUAAGUAUCUUUGGUAGUAGAACACAAACAUUGUUUUCAAAUUCAGUAUGCUUUUAAUAAUAAUAAUAAUAAUAUCCAGAUUAUUGAAAGAGCACUCUCUGGAACAUUAUAAGAAACACAUUCUAUGUGUCCUUUAUGAUUAUAACCAAAUAAUAAGGGUUUUCAACAAAAAAAGUAGUUAAAAAAGAAGUUUGUCUUGGGUAACUGAAGAUGCUUGUAAAAACAGAUAGUCUGAAUAUGGAGGCAAUUCUCUACACUGAUAAUCACUCCUCACCCGAAACUGUCAAGGAAUUCAGCCCACAAAAAUGGAACAAUGUCGCAAUUGCCACUUGUAAAUGACUUAAGACAGCAAACUGAAAGACUUUGAAAUCCUUCAUGCUGUGUAAUGGCCUACAUGCUGUAAUUCCAAAUGAUUCAGGAUACCACAGUUCAUGUUACAGAAGAUUCACAGCUCUUCAAGUUUUACAAAUAUAGGCCAAUGUCAACAAAAAGACCAUCUGUUUCAAAGUGAUGUCCAACAUCAUCCGACAUCUUUAUCUGAAACGCUUACAGACUUCUGCAUAUUCUGCAACCAAAAGCAGGCAAAUGAAGGUGGGAAUGAAUUGAAAUAUUAUGUUAAACACAACCCACCAGACACAUGUUUUUUUUGGGGGAUGACAAAUAAAUUUCUCCGGCUUUUAAGACUACUGGCAAAGGAAAUAAUUCCUCCAAUAAUUUAUGAUCAUCAGGGAUAUGGAAAACCUCUCUUUAUUUCAAAGGAGUUUCACAUUUUUCUGCCUUACAGUCUUAGAUAUCUGCAGAAACUGUGAACACUGGAAACAGCAUCUAAAUUUGUUGCUUUCAUGUAAUAUACAUAUGGAAGCACAUUAGUUCUUAAACCUCCAGCUAGUCUGUGUAACGGUUUGCACAUCCAGCUGUUGUUUAUUUUUCCCAGUGGCAGCUGCAUAGGAUAGGUGAGUUAGAUAUCUCUGUUCAUACAGCAAUCUUAAAAUAUCUACAUCAGACAAUGGGUUUGUGGGUUACAAAAACUCUUUGUUUUGUAUUACUUGGUGUUCACAUUUAUUCCUAUCGGAAAGAGAUGAUAUAAUCAAGAUAGAUUAUACUAGCUAUUCUAGUUGAUUACAGAUCUCUAAAGUUAAUUGGUAAUGUCAUUUUGAGCAUACCACCCACGCUAGAACAAUAAGGCCAUCUUCUGGAGGCAACAUAAGACCUUUUUAUGUGGGCAAGAGUACUAUUUUUUUUAAAAGAACUGGUUUCUUUCCCACUUUUAUCAAAAUGUAUUUGAUUCAAAUACAGUCAAACAGAAGAUCAAACAGUUACAAUGACAAAGAAUUGAAUGAUAACUAACAGAGGUGGCUUAAUAAAUAAAAUGAUCUCUCUCAAUCAGCACCAUCUCUUUUUUGUUUCUUUUAAAAUCCAUAAUAGGCACAGUCUAGCAAUAAAUUAAGCAUGAUAUAUAGCACAGCUCUGUGUGUGUUUCCCCAGAAGCAAGUCCUAUUAAGUUGCCACUGAGUUAAAUAAGACUUUAAUGGGUAAGUAUGCUUAGCUGGCAGCCAUUAAACCCUACCCGAAAUAUAUUCUGCUUCAUAAUGGUUGUGAUCUGCCCUGAGAUAUCAAGGAAAUGGCAGGUUCUAAAUGUAAAGAAACAAACAACCUAUCACACUGUAUGGCAAGUGGGGGGUUAUGGGCUCUGCCCUGGACACUAAAGAACAAAAAAUGAAAGAUAAUUGCUAUGAACUUGGUCUGGCAGUGGUGUUUGUUUGACUUGAUUGCUGCUGUUGUUUCCUUUUUUAAAAAAACCACUCCAUGCUUAAUACAUUUUCAAAUAAUUCCUUAAAUAAAACCAUAGCAAUCCCAAGUCUUAAUCCAUAGGAAUCUCAGGCUUUUCCAACCCAUUGAUUCCCUUUAAAGGGUGUCUUUGAUCUUGGAUCCUAAUGUUUUUCUGAUAAAUUAAAUGUGCACAUUACCCUAGAUAGUACCAUCUUUUGAGUUAUACAUCAACAGAGUGACUCAUUCUGAUGAUGUAUUCUAUUAAUACAUCAUCAAAGCACCUUGUAGUGCUGUUGCACUAAUGACAUGUUACUGUAAUACAUCAAUGAAGUGAACUGCACUGAAGAUGUAUUACUUAAAUGGAGAUAGCCUUAUAUGAGCGAAGGUUGAGGAAUUGAGUGCAAUUUUAUGCACAAGCAAAAAGCUAGCUAUCAUUACAGAGGAGAAGAAAUUUCCUAAUAGUAAUGCUGGCCCUAAAUGACUACCACAGUCCACAAAGCCAAAAGCAAUGAACUACUUAUAUUCUGCAGGACUUACUGUGGUAGCAACAUUUUAUGUUUGACCUCUGUUUCUACUGAUAUGCACUAUGGUUCUCAAUCAAGGAAGUCCGUCAGCUCCAGCAUCUGAUUCCCUGCACAGCUAUGAGGGUGACACUCAGUAUCUUGGAUAACACUGAUGCAGCUGGCCAGGAUGUAUUAUAGUCUUGUUGUGGCCUGGCCCAAGAAUCUUCAGAGACUGAGUUCUCUGGUUCAGAGGAGGAGCCAGACCAUCUCCCUAGUCCUUUCCAAGUAGGGCUUUCAAAGGAGUCCCUGGAAAACAUUUCCCAAUCAAGUCUCCACUGCUCUGGCAUUCACUUUCCAAAAUGAUCCCAAGACUGCAAAGCAAGAUAUGGACUCUUGAAAACAGUCAGAUGCAGCAUCUGUGUGGGGCAAGGUGAAUGGGAGUGGGGGAUGGAACCAUGUAGACACAAACCCUUGGCCAGUCUAUAAACCCUGAUAGUUGCUGAUACUUAGGUAACUCGCCUCCUACUCUAGCAGCAGAAUUGCAAGGUGUGGUACUGAUCUCAUGCCAACAAUCCCUUGGUCAGGAGCUGUUGUCCUGCCCAAUUUCCUGAAUCUUUUCUGUUCUAGAUCAGCACCAACUCAUUGCUUCAGUUCCUACCCUCUUACCACAGCCACUACCUCCCUGAGUUGACAGGAUCUCUGAUGCAUUAGGAUAACCCUACUGAUGAUGAUGCAGAUUAUCAAGUGGUGGAAAGAAACUAUAGUGCUUCACAUUCUCUGAUGAAUUCACGUUUGGCUGGGUUCUUCAGUUUGACCAUCCUGCCUCUAGUGUGAUUUUUUACCCUCCUUAACAUUCUCUUGUUUUCAACCUAAAUGAACACUGCUGUUCAUCUGGUUGAUGUGUGGCAGCAGUCAUUGGACUGGGAGGACUAGUUAGACCUUGGGCUUAUAAGGGCAGAGGCUGGGCCAACCAAUGGACAGAAGGGAUGGUGGUGGUGCCUAGUGGCUGUCUCAGAGUGGAAUGAUCCAUACAGAACAGCCCUAUGCGAUUCAGCCCCCCUUUCCAUUAUCCACCAUUGAUCUCCUUCUCUAUUGCCUAGCUAAUGCUGCCCUGAUAGUGACCAGAGCAAAUAAGGCAACAUGGCAGCAAACUCAAGGUUCUUACCAUUUGUUGCAGACAAUUUAAGUUCCAACUGGAAUGAAGGAUGUAGGCCAGUGCUGUAUUACUGCCAGCUCAGAGGAAGUUAGUGAGCUAUUACUAAGCUGAGUGGUUUGUGGCUGCCACUUUGACCUAUUGGCUUCAGUGAUGGACUGUCUUACCAUUGCCCCCCAGAAAGCAUGGGGAAGCCAUUUGGACUAUUUUGGAGGUGUAUGUGAAAUUUACUAGUACUUGUAGGAUCCAAAACUACAAGUACACAAAACUAUUGCUUAUUUGAGACCUGAUUGCUUUUUCUCAUAGAGACUGAAACAUCAUUGACCGAGUACUUGGUAUAUAUGUCUUUAGGUUUUGUAUUGCACACAAUGAAAACUGCUGCAGUUGUCUCCGGUUUUACUAUUUUCACCUGAAUAUUGCUAUUAUGUGUAUAUAUGAAGGUAUCACCUUCAAUGCUGUUUGACAAUACAUUUUCAAACUACUCCCUGCAUCCCACCCUAAAAAAACCCUUCACUGUGACUGUUGUGUGCAACAAAAUUGAUUAUCAGAUCACACAGGCACGCUGAGUAUCUUGCAUGCAGUAGCUAAGUGUUCUCAAUUUGGUGCAUGCAACUCUUGCCCUUUAGCAUUGCUCUUAAUGGCUUUCACUCAGCAAAGCACUCAUAGUCAAUAUGGAUCUAAUUAGCAUUUCUUUUCCAGAUAGAUCUAUAUUGGCCCAUUAGUACUGAUUUAACCUUUAUGUUUCAGUCAAACAGAAUCACAGAAAAAUUAGAGUUUGUGAUCUGCAAGAAAGGGGUGGGAACUAGCGCUUCCUCCUCCGCUUCUUAAAUUUAUUCACCACUUAAUGCAAAAUGCAACUUACAAUUAAAACGGGAUUAUACAAUAUCUAUCUAUCUAAUAUAUAAAGCAGUCUUAAAAAGCAAAGGCUAAAUAAAUAGAGAAUCUCCUUUCAGCAAAUAUUAACCCCAGUGGAAACUAUUAAAUCAUCAGCAGAGGAAAGAUGGCAAACUCCACAAACCUGAAAACUGUUGCAUUGUAACAGAGCUCCUAGAGUCUUGGAGUACAGCUAGGGCACAACUUUAUUUAUUUAUGGGCAGAAUUUUACCAACAUGUUGGUAGUGGUCUGGGUGUCUGUACCAGUUUUGGAUCCAAGCAUAUUCUGAGCUUUCUGCCCCAGUGACUCCUAUGUUAAGUUUUUGAACUUGGCUAAGUAUGCCCAUUUCCAGGAAUUCCACAAACUCUGCUGGGUGGUUCCUACAUGCUUCCUAUGCCACUGAUUGCAAGCAUGUCUGGUUUCAUCUUCUAUGUGCUUCAUUCCCGCUCCCCCCCCCAUCUUUUCUACCAGCCACAGACAAAUUGUGAUAGUAAUUCAAUGUAUAACUUUACAGUGAUACCUCAGGUUUACAUACGCUUCAGGUUACAGACUCCACUAACCCAGAAAUAGUACCUCGGGUUAAGAACUUUGCUUCAGGAUGAGAACAGAAAUUGUGCUCUGGCGGCGUGGCAGCAGCAGGAGGCCCCAUUAGCUAAAGUGGUGCUUCAGGUUAAGAACAGUUUCAGGUUAAGAACAGACCUCCAGAACGAAAUAAGUACUUAAGUACUGUAUAAACAUUUCUCUAGGUGUUGCCCAACUGACGGGGGGAGGGAGAGGGGUAAUGCCCAGCCUUGAUCUAUCCAGACAACAUGAAAACUUUUCUUCUGGGCCCCAGUUGAAGGGCCUGAUUGCGGCCAAGCCAAACAAAGUUAGCCAAAGUUAACUUUGUUUCCACAAAACCUAGCUCAGUUGGUUUAAAAUAACCCUUUGCUAAAUAAAGAGGCCCCACAAACACGAAAGGGAGCAAGCCCCUCUGAUUUGUACAACGGAAGAAAUAGAAUAAUGUACCGUAACUAUAAAAAAGGAAGGAAGGGACAAAUGGAAAUGGGGGGGGGGGAGAGAAUGUGAACAGAUGGAGGGAAAUGAGCUUAAGUGAAGAAGGGAAGCUGAGGAUAGAGAAAAAAGAUGGAGGCAAGGAAGGUAACCAGACAAUGGAUAGAAGGAAGAGAGGCAAAGAAUAGAGGAAAGGCAGUAGCAGUAUGCUGUGCGCUUGACAAACCCAGGAAUAGUUUCCUUCCAUUCUAAGGCUCAUAUCUCUCUUGCAUUCUCUCCUCUGUCACACCCACCCACCCACCUCUACCUUACCUAGAGUGAGGAGCACCAUGACUUCGAAGGGUCAUUGGCCAAUGUUCCACCCGGCUGGCCACCUGCUUCCACCAGCCCUGGAUCCAGUGCUCUGGUGGAUUUGCCAGUCAGUGUGACUAGCAGGAACUAUGAUUUCAUGAAUUCAUCUGGUAGCAAAUGUGGCUGAACUGGGGAGGGAGUGAAUUGAGCCUUCAGUGUUUAAACCAGGGGUCAGCAAACUUUUUCAGCAGGGGGCCGGUCCACUAUCCCUCAGACCUUGUGGGGGGCUGGAAUAUAUUUUUUUGGGGAAACAACAAAUUCCUAUGCCCCACAAAUAACCCAGAGAUGCAUUUUAAAUAAAAGCACACAUUCUACUCAUGUAAAAACACGCUGAUUCCCGGACCAUCCGCGGGCUGGAUUGAGAAGGCGAUUGGGCCUUAGUUUGCCCACCCAUUGUUUAAGCAGAAAUCAGCCAUGUAAAUAAAUAAAAUUGUGCCCCAUGGCAUGUGUGUGCUUUCCAGUGGGUCAAAACUCGUCUACUCUUGGCAACAGUGCUGAACUUGAAGGAGCUUGGUUUGCUUCAACAAUAUCAUUCUUAUGCUCUCUCAGUCUUAUAUGGGUAAAUAUCAUUUCUUUCUUAGAAUGUGCUUCUAGGAGGCCCAUAUCCUUAAAGGGAGGGGGUAUAAUGGAUUGCUUUACAUACCUUAGGAUUCUUCAUGCUACGUGACUUACUGCAAGCUAGCAAAACACGUUAUCCUAAUUGUAUAUUUAGUACAAAGUACUUUUCUCUUGCCAAGAAGAAAGUGUGAAUAGCAGAAACACAUUAGUUGCUCAUAAACAAUAAACACUCCUUUUGAUUGAGUGUCAUAAAACCUUCUCUAAGCUCAGGGUCUAAACUGUUACUGAGAAAUGAUGUGGCUGUUACAAAUGGUAUAGUAAUUGGACAUGUGCAAAUGUUUGAAGGCCUGGAAAGGAGAAUUUAGCCUAGGACCCUGGUUUUGUUUUCAUAUCCAGAACUGGAGCCUUGGACUGUGUACUGGAAAUCACUUCCAAUUUUGUUGUUAGCUUAACUGUGAAUGCUGUAUUUUAGACUGAGUAAACAUUUAAUUACUGGACUUGUGUUACACAAGAGAUAAAAUUCCACAAUAUCAAAUGAGCAUAUUAAAAGCACUACAGAAAGCACUGGUUAUAUUUUCAAUGUGCAAGACUGGUCCAUCCAGUGUCAGCCCCACAAUCAGGUAAAGUGAGGUGACCACUCAGGAUGCAGAUGGGUUGUCACUAAUGACUUGCGUACACCUCUCUCCAAACCCACAGUGGGAGUGCUCUGGAUAAGGAGUAAACAAUUGCUUUAGUAUUAAUGUGGAGGCAGAUUUCCAUGUGACCCUGUCAUGUUGUGCUAAUUGAUCACAAGAUUUGGUUCCACUUUGACCUCCACACAUUUAGUAUACAUGGAGAAGCACAUGUCUGGAUCACCCUGUCGUGUUGUGAAAAGUGAGCAGUAGGCUUCUAAGCUUUGGUGUACCUUGUCUGAUCCACAUCCAUAAGUUUAUUGACCCCUAGUGACUGAAUCUCAUUAAUUUAAUUGGAUUGAUGAAUGUAUGAAAUCUGUGGAUAUGUUUACUCACAGCUUGCAGACCAGUAUUUGUGCAUUCAUCAUCUUCACUGGCCCUCAAUGGCCUGAUGACUCUACCCACAAAAGCUCAGCCACAAUAAGCUUCUUACUAGUUUCUCUCAAGUACCUGAACCCAAUUGCAAGUCGUCUUCUUUCAUGCUAAAUAUUCCCAAUUCCUGUAUGUUCCUGUAUGUUGUUACACCCAUCAAAUGAGAGGACAACCUUUUAUCCCAAGACUUUUCUUGUUAAUAGCUGGUGAUGACUCAUUAAUGGUCACUGAAGGAUGGAAUAAAAUUUGCAUAAAUGAGCAUUUAUGGCUCUUACCUUUUUAGGUACCGAACACCCCACCUCCAUGUUUAGGUGGGGCUGGAGAUAAAGAGUUCUUUUUUAGGAAUGUAACCAGUGCAGCAGGCAAAAGUUUGAGUUUUGUAGGUAUCUAGCAAGGAGUCUCAAGGAGCUAUUAGGAAAUUAGGCUAUUUUUGAAAUGAGCACUGUUUUCCUGGUUUUGAAUAUAUCCCUACUCCAUCCCCAUCUCCUGCUCAGCAUAAAGGUAAAGGUAAAGGGACCCCUGACCAUUAGGUCCAGUCGCGGACGACUCUGGGGUUGCGGUACUCAUCUCGCAUUACUGGCUGAGGGAGCCGGCGUACAGCUUCCGGGUCAUGUGGCCAGCAUGACUAAACCGCUUCUGGCGAACCAGAGCAGCGCACGGAAACGCCGUUUAUCUUCCCGCCAAAGCGGUACCUAUUUAUCUACUUGCACUUUGACGUGCUUUCGAGCUGCUAUAGCUGUAAAUAAACAGAUACUACAAAGGCACCAUAAGACUCUAGUAUUCCCACCUUCCAAGGGAAAGUCUCCUCUUAGAUUAAUUUCUUAUCCCUUGGGGAAAUGUAGGGCAUAGUGCAAAAUAGUUCAUUAUAGUUCAUUUCAAACCAUUUACUAUAUCAGUGGGAAAUUUUGAAGCCUUCUCUUUGCUAUUUUACAUUAAAUUAACAUAAACCAGAAACAGCUAAUAGCAUUUGUAUGUUUUAAAAAUUAUUUGCUGAAUCAUGGAUCGUGCCUUAAGCAGGUCAGUAAUGUUGUUCUGCACUCCUAGAAUGAAUCACGAAAUGUAGCAAUGGCCAGCAACUUGGAUGGCCUUACAGAGGGGGAUAGAUCAAUUCAUGGAGGACAAGGCUAUCGGUGGCUAUUAGCCAGGAUGAUUGCGUGAUAUCGCCAGAAUUGGAGGCAGUGUUCCUCUGUAUAUUGGUGGCUGUUUCAGGUCCUAUUUGUGAGUUCCCAACAGACAUCUGGUUGGCCACUGUGAGAACAGGAUGCUAGACUAGAUGGGUCUAUAGUCUGAUCCAACAGAACAUAAGGAUAGUCUUAUGUUCUUAGAGUAUUCUCAGGCUACAAAUACAACCUUUUCAGAAACAAGGGGAAUCCCGCUACUUUACAAUCUGCCGCAACUUUUCAGAGACUUUUUUUUUUAAUCCCUCCCAAGAAUUUGUCCCUGCUGUUUUGAGGACAGAAUGAUAAAUCUAUCAAUUAUCUCAUUAAAAACAAAAUAAUGUUUAAUGCUGACAGAUGUCAGACCUAUGAAUGUGUAAAUAUUAAUAAGCUAGUUGACACAUUCCACAUAAGCAAAGAAGAAUCUGUAUAUUUCAACAUUCCCUUGUGUUUUCUGAACAUAAGGAUGCCAAGUUCCUAAAUUGAUUGAGGUAGAACAACAAAACAAAAUCUUAAAUGAGCUUACUUUUUUUUGUUUUUAAAUACUACAGUAUCAUGAGAACACAGACUUAAUAUCUUAACAAAUCAAGUGUUCAUAUAUGUAAAUGUUGCAAAACUUCAUAUAUAUUUCUUUUGACUUUUUGAAAAACAUUCAAAAUGUGAGCCUUUUCCCUUGAAGAAUUAUUUGUCAUAACAGGUACAACAAAACAUGCAACAAAACGUAAUACCCCCAAGCUAAUAAUUCAUUACUGCUUUCAUUUAACCCCUUGAGUCAGAUGCAUUCUGAUACAAUGGCACUGCGGAAUAAAAUUAUUUAGUUUUGUUUAUGUAUAUAGUUAUCUGCCCAAAAUUUGCUCUGCAUUGCUGGCCUCUGUGACUUCCUGCCCAGCAGACCCUUUUUUGAAUGUGUUCAACAUCCAAACAACACUCCCAAUGACGCCAUUUUCUUCUGUUGGACAGCUUUCAUGUUUAUUAGGGAACUUGCUUCAUAGCUAACCUUUGGGCUAAUGUGCUGCUGUCUGAAGCUAAUGCAUAUGCAGUGAUUAAUAUGACUAUAAUCAUGUAAGGAUGCAUAUGGAACAAAAUAACCAGGCUAAUGAUUGUGGAAGAAUUAAAUUUUCUUGGAUUUCAGUAUUGCUUGGAUUUCUUUGGGUUCAGCCCUUUUCUGAAGGCAAAACAAACCUUGAAAUAAGAUGAAAGUUUCAAUCCUCGUAAUAUUUCAACCCUCGCAGGCAAAACUCCACAUGAAUCACAGUUUAAAACAGAACAGUGCGUAGAGUGCCAAUAUAAACCACAAAAUAUUUGUGGAAAACAAUGCACUUGGGGGAUUAAGACAUUCAUCUGAAAGGGAAACUGCUAAACAAGUGAAAAGUUAUAGAAAUUACAUUAGAAGCACAGCCGUCAGCUAGAAAUAUAAUCUAUAAACAGCCAUAUAGACAGCACGGGGCUGCUUUAAAACUUUGCAAAGGAAGAUGAAAACAAAUAAAAAUGAACUGAGCAAGAUGGAAGGAUCAAGGAGCAGGGGUGGAGUGUGUUUAUGUGUGUAGGGGGGAGGGAAUCAUCCCAGGAGUUUCCCAGAACUGCUAAAAGGGCAAAGCUAAACAUAAUUCGCUUGAAAACAUGAGUUUUGAUAAAGUGUGAUAACCAAGAACUUAAUGAAACAAUAUUGCAACACAUUGUUGUAAGCAACAUCUCCACAAGCAAUUAUUUUUACUUAUGGCUUACAAAAUGUUUGCCAUGAUGAUGAUCAGUGUGUGUACAGAGGGAGGGUCUGCAUUUACGAGGGGCCCUCCAACAGGUCUCCUUUGUUGCCAUUGUCAGGUAUCUUGAGGCUUAGACCAUCAGAUUUAGGGGGCAGACCUUGGAUGACGCUUGGUAGAAAAACUUAAUGGUGCCAGAUAAAGGCAGAAAAUCGCUCUUGGCAUGUCUGAGGAAGAUCCUUGCUGUGUGUGGUGCCUAAGUGUAGCAUCUGAUGGGUGUGCUGGUGGAGCACUUAGCAAAAGUUCUCGAACCAAGCAGAAAAUAUUAUUGUUUGCUCUUCACUUUCACCCUAAGAUUUUACUCCCCCGCCCCGAGACCCUGAGAAGAGGAUUAAACCCUGAAACUUUAGGUCAAACUCUUUGAGGCCCAGCAACCACGGAUGGAGGCCAACCACUUGGCAUCUGGGUCGUGUGGGAGCUCUUCCAGUUCAGUUGUGCUGGUCCCAAGGGUUAACCGUGCAGCGAGGUCUGGGUCCAGUCCGAGGUCGAGGGUGUGGUAUGGAGGCUGUCCAUCAAAGCUGAAGCUGGGUCCAAGGCAGGGAGUCGGGUGAGGUCAGGAACUCUAGCAGAAGAGCAGGACAGGGUGCAGGCAGGAACAGACUACCAACAAUGUUGCUCCCGCAACCUGGGACUGGGGCUGGCUGGCUUUUAUCUGCCCCGAGGCAUAGGGGAGCCCCAGUCCACAGGUGACUCGCCUCUCCUGGCCUGGAGGCGAGCACUCCUCCUGCGGGAACUUAGUUCCCUCCACCUCUCUGCCCUUAGCCUCUGCAGCUCAGGAGAGACUGGAGGGUUGCUGGACCCAGAGGCAAUCUCAGCAUCCCCUGACGGGGCUGAGAGUGGAGCACCUGCAGGCAAUGGGUCCUCCAUCACCUCAGGAGCCAGAGCAGGCUCAGCUGGUGCCUGCACCUGAGGAUCCAGCACAGGUGAGGACCCUUCAGGCUCAAGCCCCAGCCCCGGCUCAGCUGGUUCUGGAGGCGAGGACUCCUGUGCAAGCUGGGAUUCCUCAGGUUCAGCCUCCGAGUCCGAAUCCCAGGCCAUCACAUCAGUAUUGCCCCCAAAUGUUACCCUUCACUUUUUCUGGUAGUAAUGGACAACAGUUCACUUAUAUGGAAGAAAUAAAAAAGCUGCAUUUGGCUAAGACAUUCCUUGGUUACCAGUAUCUAAAGUGGCAAUCCAGUUUUGCUUUCUUUGAGCUGUACCCCCAGAUUGCUGCCCAUGUACUUUGUCCCAUAAAACUCAAAGGGGCCCAUUGGGAACCAGGUCGUGGUCUUUCUGCAUAACCCUGGCCUGUUUCUCAUUCCUUCCUUCCUUGUGGUCUUAGUAUGGGGUGUAAUGUUAAGUAUUCACUUAUUCAUAUUGUACACUAGCAGCCUUAUGGCCAGCUGUGCUUAGAAAUCCUAAGAAACCCAAAACAUCAGGCUGGUUUGUAAUCAGUGGUUAAAAUCAGUGCAGCUUUCACAGGUUCAGUCAACCAUCUUGAUUUAAAAUGGCACCCAGUUGUAUCCAAACAUGGACAAAAGCUCUUUGAUUGCAGGAACAAUCAUGCAAAAAUUGGUUAUGAUAUUUUAGGAGGUGUUCAAAUGUGCAAUGAAAAACCAGCUUUCCAGAAUAGGUAUUAGGUAGACUUAGAUUUCUAAAACACCAAAAAUGACUAGGUGUCAUACAGUGAAGUUAAUAUUUUCCCAUAGCAUAGUGACAUGCUGUUUUACCAGUUUGAGUGCAUGUUUCCUUUGUGCAUUACAAGAAUUUUAUAUGUUCAUAAUGGAUGUUGAGAACAACCUUUGUGUGUUGUUGUGGCCAAGCAUGAACUGUGAAUAGUUUUUGACUCCUCCGAUUUUCCUCCACAAAAAGUAGACAUGUACCCUUAACACUUAGCCCCACUAAUUAAAGUCAUUGUCAUAGAAUAAUAAACAUAUGGCAAUUUGGGUUACAUUUUCAGGAUAAUAGCUGUCAAUGGGAAAAGGUCUGCUAAUAUUACACACAAGGAGUCCAAAACAGCGCUGGAGAAAGUUAUUGCACAUGUAAUAAAUCACUUCCCAAUCAAUGAUUGCACUUUAGUUCCGCCUGUGGAUUGUUGUUGACUACAUAACAUUGCAUAUGGGAACCAUUUUGAUACAUUUUAAAACAUUUAUUUGUCUACUAUGAAACAGAGUGGUCCUAAGGAAAUGCAGAAGCCCUCUAAGAAAGUUUGCUAGACAUAACUAAACCCUUUGUGCGUCCUCAAAAUAACUCCGAUGUUUAGCAUCAGCAGAAAUAAAGUUCUCUCUUAAAUUUCACUACUGUAUUGGUCAAAUUGCGAGGCAAGUUAAAGAAAUGUAGAAUGCCUCCUGAGAAAAGUAUCUAGUUUUAUUACUAUGUGCUUCUCUCAGAAUGUAUUGGAUGUUCCGCACAAUAAGGAAUCUCCAAAUUCACCUGAAAUUUGGCUUCAGCCACGAUUUGAGAGCAGAAAUUGCCCAGCACAGACUUGUAAACAGCUAGUCACCUAGGGUGAGUAAUGGGUUAGCCAGCUGCAGUACCAGCUGCACCAGCUGUUCUAGAACAGAUUACAAUUUGAGCCUAAGUAGCAUCCAUUUGGUUGGCUGAAGGCAAGGGUAAAUUUGUUUUAUGUGCAUUUGGUUCUGCAUACAUUUAAUUAAUGCUAUACUAUCUGUUUGGUGGGGUUAGGGAAGACUAUAUUGUAGCCAUGACAUGAAAUUAAUGAAUUUAUAUUGACUAACCCAUAAAAUGUGUAGGAUUUUUCUAUAAGGAUUAACAUCUUUCUCUUAAUAAGAAAGAAAGAAAGAGAAGCCAGAGCAUGUUCUGACACAUUAACAUUCCCACUAAAUCACAGGACUGUACUGACAGGAUUAAUGAGCUACCAGAUUUGGUCAUUUGUGGAUAUAUAGCCAUUUUGGUUACACCACCAGCAUCAUUGUCACUAGAAGAAGGGUUGAUAAUUUUACAUAGAACGUAUCCAGGACAGCAUUGCAGAUGAAAGUUAUUUCACAUGUAAUAAAUCACUUCCUAAGAAUAGAUUGCACUUUUGUUCUGCUUAUAGAUUGAUGUUGACUUUGUAGCAUAGCGUAUGGUAACCAUUCAAAUACACCAAAUGAACGUUGUGGCCGUGUGUAGCACUUUGAUUUCUUCAACAUUUAAAAACCCUCUCAGACGUGUCUGCUGAUGGAUUACAGUCUUUCAGUAUCCCAUCCAGUGCUUUCAGUUGUGCCUGCUUGAUGGAUGCUCUUUUGCCAUAUGUGAAAGGAGGAAAUCAAUGGGGAAAUGCCUGCUUUGAGCAGGUACAUAUGCAAGGUUUUGAUCCCCUGUAAUGAGAGAUUUCUUAGUUGACCAUCUCCUUUUAUGCAUGCAAAGUGUGAUGGUGGAGUAACAACAAUGACUUUGACCUCUGCAGCCAACUGUCCUGUUGUGUGCCCAGUUUGUUCAUUUAUUUCAAACUUUAUAUACCACUUUCCUGCUGAACAAAGCAACUCACCACAAGUGGAAGUACCAAAAAGUGACCCACUCUCAGUGCUACUAAACACAAUUUAGUUAGCGCUGAUAUAAAUCUCAGUGGGAUGGAUCCAGUCUUUGGUUUCUGUGGAUUGGAAAGCUCCUUCAUCUGUAGAAGGCUUUUAAGCCGAUGGAAAGAUACCACUGGCAGAUAUAGGGAGCAUUAUUUUUUUUGCCAAUUCCACCUCCCCCUGCUGUCCCACACUGUUUUGGAGGCCCUCCAACCCUCCAAAUCAGGGGGAAUCAACAAUGGUUGCCUUUCCCUUGUUGACAGGAGCGUCCUUUGAGUGAAGCACAAGUCUUGCUUCAACUUGGUGUUUCUUUUUUCUUCUGAAUUAUAUAAUUUUAUAUAAACAAAUGGGGGUGCGGGUGGUGCUGUGGGUUAAACCACAGAGCCUAGGACUUGCCGAUCCGAAGGUCGGCGGUUCAAAUCUCCGCAACGGGGUCCCUGCUCCUGCCAACCUAGCAGUUCGAAAGCACGUCAAAGUGCAAGUAGAUAAAUAGGUACUGCUCCGGCGGGAAGGUAAACGGCGUUUCGGUGUGCUGCUCUGGUUCUCCAGAAGCGGCUUUGUCAUGCUGGCCACAUGACCCGGAAGCUGUACGCUGGCUCCCUCGGCCAAUAAAGCGAGAUGAGCGCCGCAACCCCAGAGUCGAUCACAACUGGACCUAAUGGUCAGGGGUCCCUUUACCUUUAUAUAAACAAAAGUGGUUGCCAUAUUUUAAAAGCAUGUUAACAUGCGUUAGGAAGCAGAUUGAGUGCCUUUCUCCACCUCCUCCACGUUGCAGGCAGGAGGACAUUUCACCACCUACAUUUAGAAAAAAACACAACAACAGAAGCUUCCAUUUUGUUUAGAGGAACUUCAGCUAUGUAUCAAGGUGUCUGUCUUUCUGACAUCCAGUUUAUGUAACCUUGAGAUUCCCUUAAUCCAGACUGAACAGUGGAUAAGGAGAGCAAGCAACUACUUCUGGCCUUUUCACACCUCUUAACCUUAGGUUCUGCAAAGCCCAAAGAAACAGGGAACAGUUGCCACUGCCCCAAAUAGGGUUCAUGUUAUGACCUUUUCUUCCAUUCACAUCAGCUGCCAGUGUCAGUGUUCACCUUGCCCUCUCUCUGCCUCAUUCACUUUCUUUAGGGGCUCUGGGGAUUAGUGCAAGCUUUUAUACAGCUGCCAGCAUGGCAUGGAAAAGGAAAGAGUGAAGUGGAAGAAAAAGAUAUUAAAGCAUCUUACUGGGACAUUGGGACCAUCCUUCAUAAUCAGAGCUGUCCUUGAGAAACUACAGCUCUUCCAGCGACCCUUAGAAAGCCAUACUGUGCCACUAAGCGGAAAAACAACAAUUAUCUUCUGAUGGAUGGGCAAGAUUACAGUAUUUCUUAUUUUCACUUUUUAUAGCUUCAAAUAAAAAUUUCCACUUGUUUCUUGUUGACUUGCUGCUCCUGGAGGCGACAUCCACUUCAGCCAGGAACCCUUUUAUGAACAAUCACAGACCUUUUCUUGAAGUUUUGCUGGGAUUGCUAGUUUUGUCCUUUGUCUAAACAGGUGUAGUUGAAUUAAGGCUGCACUGAAUGUUUUCUUUUUUAAUUUUUUUGGACCAGAAAUACAACUUUGAGGUUAUUUGUGAAUGUCCCUUUAGUAGUCAAGUCCUUUCCUUUUGUUUCUUCAUUUCAUCUGUCCUUUUUGCCCUUCACUAUACUUGUUUAUGCUCAGGGUUGCUUUUUCUUUCUUGUACUGGUCCCAGGCAACCAGCGAUCACAUAGUGCUAGGACAUAAUCAUAUUCACUACGUAGCCCGGAAAUAACAUUGGAGAUAGCAUUGAGGACAAAGAAAGCUGACUGAGACUGAAGGCGAUACUCCCUGGAUCAGCACUGCCCACUGAAUGAGCACAAAUUGUCAGCCUCUUUCAUAUAAUCAUAGACUUUUUAAUGAAAGGUGUCCCCUUUUGUCUCAGUCCUACUUGGAACUGGUACAAGGCAUUGUUGAAGCAGGAGAACACACCAGUUUUGCCAUGUGGAUGCCACUCGAAUUGCCCAUGGUGAGUUCUCCAUACACAACCCAAGUAAUGUUUAAGAAAUCGUACCAUGUGAAGCACAGCUAAUGUCAUCAUCUAAUUUUAAAGGCAUAACUUCCCAAAGCAAUGUGCUAACAGUUCUAAACUAACAGGGGUGGGGAAACUGACCCUUCAGGUGUUGUCGGAUUCCAUCUCCCUUCAGCCCCAUCCAACAUGGCCAGUGGUCAGUGAUAGUGGGAGAUGUCGUCUAGCAACACCUGGAGAGGAAUAAACGAAUCAACGUACCAGUGUAAGAGUGAUUUAUCUCUUUGGAUCCUAAAAUACCACUCCUACUCAGAAACUGUUCACAACUUUCUCACGGCAUACUGUGCAAGGUGUUGGAAGAUUCCAAAUGCAGACCUACAGUAUUUGAGAUCUGGAUCUCACAACUUUGGGACUUAAUGGGCAAACUGACAGUCCGUGUCCAAGAUAGUUGAACAGAAAACACAACCACUACUUUUCAAUCAACCUUGCAUAGUUUUAUUACAUAUGCAGAAUCACUAGGACAUAUAACAAAUUGUGAACUGAUACAUUUGUUUAAAAACUGAAAUGGCUUUAAAGUUUAAUUUACUUAAACAGAUGUUUGCUUCUUUUGCUGGGGGUGGGUUGGAUUGUUGAUGUUGACUGCUGCUCUUUGUAUAAAUAAGUGGAAACAAUAAAUUGUUCAGGAGGAAAAAUACGUAUUUCCAGCACAUCUUGCUAUAAUUCCUAUUAUUUUUGUAAAGUUCAGUGAGUGAUUUUAUAUAUGUGUUUGUGUGUGUGUCACUGAGGUAAAACUUUUUUAUAUACUUUUUGAGAAGUAGUGGCCUUUUAACAAUAAAUAUUCACAGGUUGUAAAAGAUAUGACAGUAUUCAAAUCCUGUGUGCAUUAAUAGUUUCUUUUACUUUUUUGACUGAUAUUUUAAUUUAAACAAGAUAAUAUGUACUUUUGAUCACCUGUGUUCGGUAGUACUAGAGAUCAAUUUUUUCAAAAUCCAUUUCUCUCUCCUUUUGCUAUCCAGCUUUACAAACAUGUUCUUUCUUGAAGAUUUUUAAACCAAAGGGGAAUCUCAAAAAUAUUUUAGUUUUAAUCUCCAUAAAAUGAUAGGAUUUAGAAUUUCUGAUGAGAUCUUCAUAUCUUUAUGUUCCGUGUUUUUUCCCAUUUAUCAAAGUUAUCUAGCCUCCUCAUAGAAUUAAAUUCCAUAUUAUCAACUACAGAUGCUGUUGGAGCUUUAGCUGGAAUUGAUAGAUCCCUAUUUGUCCCAUAGUCUAUUUGAAAGAGUAAAAUUAUUUAUUUAUUUCAACUUAAUGAUCCAUUUUCUUUGCCCAAAGGAUAGAGCUUAGAUCAAUAUCUAUAUAUAUUCUUGCUCAAAAGCUUUAUUACCAUCUUUAUGUCUUUGAUUGUAUAAUCAGCUACAGAUAUAUAAUAUACAUUUCUUUCACUUUUCCCCGCAUCUCCUUCAUCGGUGCAUAUAGUUGCCAGUAUGUUUGGGGAGACAUCGGAGCAAAACUUUUCCCCACCCCACCCCAAAAAACCUGCCUAAUUUAUUAUCCUCUUUCUGGCUGCCUGACACCUGCAGGGAGGACCCAAAAGUAAUUGACUUCCGGCACAACCUCCAGAGCCAGUGUGGUGUAGUGGUUAGGAGGGGUAGUCUCGUAAUCUGCUGAACCGGAUUUGCGUCUCCGCUCCUCCACAUGCAGUUGCUGGGUGACCUUGGGCCAGUCACACUUCUUUGAAGUCACUCAGCCCCACUCACCUCACAGAGUGUUUGUUGUGGGGGAGGAGGGGAAAGGAGAAUGUUAGCCACUUUGAGACUCCUUAAGGGGAGUGAAAGGCGGGGUAUCAAGUCCAAACUCCUCCUCCUCUUCUUCUUCCAUGGCGAACUGCCAAUCCCAUGGUAGCGGAUGCCAGCCAUGCAGUUAAUUAAGGAUAAUUUGAGAGUAAUUAUCCUUGCAAGCAUUCGGGGGGUGAGAGCUUUCUCUCGCGGAUCGUCCGAUAACUGCUUCACGCUCCGAUGGAAUGCAGGGGCAGGGACACAGAGGGCAUAGCACUGCACGUAUUGGAAACUCCCCAAUGUGGUUGCCAUGAGCGGAGGUAUCUCUGUUUCUUUUAAGUUUUAUCUGAAUUUGGACUUAAGAAACAGACAUGUUUUGGAAGAAGGAGAAAGAUAACCUUCUAAAUGAAUCAGCCACUGAGUGCCAAGGUUUUGAUCUGGAGAGGACUCUGGUUAUCGUGAUUGGAAUGCUGCGUAAGUGAAGGGGAGCCUUUGUUCUUUUUUUUACAUUAUUUUUGCUGUGCUAUGAAUUGGCAAGCCUUCACUGAAAAAGAAUCUGUUAUUAAUGGAAUGAAAUUACUAAUGGAUUACGACUAUAUAUUGAUUUCAAGAGGGAUUCAACAAGAACUUAGAAUUUUCUUUAUGGAGUGCUUGAAAGAAUAGACUGUGUGAAAUACUGUGAUGAUUUGUAACAUUGCCAACUAAAGAGAGCUCUAGUUCUGAUUUAUUACAGUUUUGGUGAGACGCCUGCUCGUUAGAAGAAGCAAGGAGAUAAACACUGGAAGUUAACCAGAAGUUGCGGCUGGACACUGGAUUGCUUUCGGUUUCAGAGAGGCAAAAUGGAACUGUGACAUACCUACAAAUGAGUUUUCGAAGGAGGGGCAAUGUUGAAGAAAACUGACUGAUUACCACAUGAAGGAAAAGAAGGUAAACAAAUAUUUCACACAGCUACAGAAUAUAAAUUCCCUCUGCAAGUUAAUGGAUUUGGAUUUAUUAAACACAGUAGAAAGUUAUGACAUCAGUAGCUGCUAGAACAAAGGAUUAAGAUCGGAAUUGUGGAACUUGGACUAAUUAAGAGAAUUGGCGCAGGAUCAAGGAAUAACAUCAACUCCUGAUAGCUGGAACAUGGGA